GUAUUGCCUUGAUCUAACAGAAUGCCAUAAACUUGCUCAACUUCCAGACUCUAUAGGCUCCCUGGUGUCUCUACAGCGGUUGUUAUUGUCGGGAUGCCACUCGUUGAGACAAAUCUCAGACUCGAUUGGAAAGUUGACAUCAUUGAUUGAGAUGCAUUUGAAAUCUACGGCCAUUGAAGAAUUACUUGAAUCCAUUGGUUCUUUGAAGGAGCUCGAGACUCUAGAUGUCUCUUAUUGCAAAUCGUUAGCCCGCAUACCCAACUCAAUAGGCAAUUCAACAUCUCUGUCUCAUUUUGACCUAACAGGAUGCCAUAAACUGGUUCAACUUCCAGACUCUAUAAGCUCAUUCGUGUCUCUACAACAGUUGUUACUGUCGGGAUGCCACUCAUUGAGACAAAUCCCAUACUCGAUCGGAAAGUUGAUAUCAUUGACUGAGCUGCAUUUGAAAUCUACGGCCAUUGAAGAAUUACCUGAAUCCAUUGGUUCUUUGAAAGAGCUCAAGACUCUAGAUGCCUCUUUUUGUGCAUCGUUAAUCCGCAUACCCAACUCAAUAGGCAAUUCAACAUCUCUAUGUUGCCUGUCCUAAGCAAUUGUCGAAAGCUUGCUCAACUUCCAAACUCCAUAAGCUCCCUCGUGUCUCUAUCGCAAUUGCUGUGUCGGGAUGCCACUCGUUGAGACAAAUCCCAAGCUCGAUCGGAAAGUUGACAUCAUUGAUUGAGCUGCAUUUGAAAUCUACGGCCAUUGAAGAGUUGCCUGAAUCCAUUGGUUCUUUGAACAAGCUCAAGACUCUAGAUGUCUCUUAUUGCAAAUCGUUAGCCCACAUACCCAACUCAAUAGGCAAUUCAACAUCUCUGUCUCGCCUAGACCUAACAGAAUGCCAUAAACUUGCUCAACUUCCAGACUCUAUAGGCUCCUUUGUGUCUCUACAGCGGUUGUUAUUGUCGGGAUGCCACUCGUUGAGACAAAUCCCAGACUCAAUCGGAAAGUUGACAUCAUUGAUUGAGAUGCAUUUGAAAUCUACGGCCAUUGAAGAAUUACCUGAAUCCAUUGGUUCUUUGAAGGAGCUCAAGACUUUAGAUGCCUCUUAUUGUGCAUCGUUAGCCCGCAUACCCAACUCAAUAGGCAAUUCAACAUCUCUGUCUUGCCUUGACUUAACAGAAUGCCAUAAACUUGCUCAACUUCCAGACUCUAUAAGCUCCCUCGUGUCUCUACAGCGGUUGUUAUUGUCGGGAUGCCACUCGUUGAGACAAAUCCCAGACUCGAUCAGAAAGUUGACAUCAUUGAUUGAGCUGCAUUUGAAAUUUAAGGACAUUGAAAGAUUACCUAAAUCCAUUAGUUUUUUUAAGGAGCUCAGGAUUCUAGAUGGCUCUAUCAUGCAUCGUUAGCCUAUAGAUCUAUUUCAAUAAGCAAUUCAAGACCUCAUUCCCCAACUCAAUAGGCAAUUUAACAUCUCUGUCUCGGCUUGACCUAUGCUACUGUUAUAAACUUGUUCAACUUCCAGACUCUAUAGGCUCCCUCGUGUCUCUACAACAAUUGUUUUUGUCGAGAUGCUUCUCGUUGAAACAAAUCCCACACUCGAUUGGAAAGUUGACAUCAUUGAUUGAGUUGCAUUUGGAAUUUUCGGCCAUUGAAAAAUUACCUGAAUCCAUUGGUUCUUUGAAUGAGCUCAAGACUCUACAUGUCUUUUACUGCCAAUCGUUAGGUCGCAUACCUAGCUCAAUAGGCAAUUUCACAUCUAUGUCUUCCCUUAACCUAGAUGAAUGCCAUAAACUUGUUCAACUUCCAGACUCUAUAGGCUCAAUUGUGUCUCUACAACAGUUGUUAUUAUCGGGAUGCCACUCGUUGAGACAAAUCCCAGACUCGAUCGGAAAGUUGACGUCAUUGAUUGAGCUGCAUUUGAAAUCUACGGCCAUUGAAGAAUUACCUAAAUCCAUUGGUUCUUUAAAGGAGCUCAAGACUCUAGAUGUCUCUUAUUGCAAAUCGUUAGCCCGCAUACCCAACUCAAUAGGCAAUUCAACAUCUCUGUCUCACUUUGACCUAACAGAAUGCCAUAAACUUGCUCAACUUCCAGACUCUAUAGGCUCCCUGGUGUCUCUACAGCGGUUGUUAUUGUCGGGAUGCCACUCGUUGAGACAAAUCCCAGACUCGAUUGGAAAAUUGACAUCAUUGACUGAGCUGCAUUUAAAAUCUACGGCCAUUGAAGAAUUACCUAAAAGCAUUGGGAAUAUGCAAAACUUAAGGAUAUUGGACAUUAGUGGAACUCCCAUAAUAGAAUUGCUUGAUGACCCGGGAAUAUUGGCAGAACUCCAAGAGUUUAGAGCUUCGAGAUGGAAAAAUUCUGAAGGGUCACCUAGUAAUAAUGGCCAAUUGGUUUCACCUAACAAUCUUGGUUUAGACAAGCUUCAAAAACUAUCAGAAUUACGCUCUCGCGUACUAGCGCUAGGUAUAACCUACCAGAUCCCGCAAUCACUGAAUCUAUCCCAACUAAACUUUCUCAAGAAACUUACUCUUUCUAAUUGGCUUGAAUUUCUCCUACACCUUUCUAUAAAACGUUGUAGAAAAGCUGUGAAUCUUGAUUUUGUAUUUUCAAAAGUUCAACCUAUUAGUUGGGCAUUCUAUUUACUUUUUGUCUUGUGAUACAGUUCUCUUAAAGCGUCCUAAGACACCUGCAGCCAACAAUUCAGCCAUGGACUACCAAACAGCAGAUUCUAAACACGUUUUGAAGAGAUCAAGACCUUUUGGAAUCUUGGAUGAAGUACUUGUUUCAUCUUGCUUUUUCUUUAUCAUUCUUUAUUACUUAUAGGAUGGUUCUAUCUAUAAAGAGAAGUAUCUUAUUGGGUGAUCGAUUUUUUAUUAUGUAUGGGACGUUUUUCUCAACAUUCGUAACUAGAUUUGUCAGACUUGUUACAUUUACUUCUUGCUAUUUUAAGUUUUCUCUUCAUGGAAGUAGGGAUUUUCAAUUUUCCUGAAUUAUAAACUUAAGUUGGAAUAUAUUGCCCAUUAUUAUGCGAUUCUCUUUCUUAAUUAUCUUUCUUUGCAUGCCAUUGAAUGAAACCUUUUGAAAGCACUCACCCUUUAAGCUAGCUUUUGGGGUGAGAUAAGCCCAAGACCAUCCAACAAUGAUAAACUUUUAGUUUUGACGUUUCCAGAUACCCUUAACUUUCAUGAUGCACUUAAAGAAAUAAUUGAGGAUUUGAAGGAUUACAAGAAAGUCUGAUGGAGAGAAAAAGGAGCAAAAGGGCUAAGGUUGUCAAUUUAUGUUUGCUUGUCUUAAUUGUGUUUGUUAACUAUGUAAUUCAUCAUGACUUCUAUUAGACAUGUCAAACCAUUGAAUUAGACGAGAGCAUGUAAAUAUCUCUCAACCAACUGGUUAAACGUAUGGUGAGGUGUCAUAUUUUGGUUGUGUCUAUGUUUUUGUGUUUGGUAUUGUCAUGUAAACAAUCGGUGUCAAUAUUGGUAGCAUUAAGGAGGAGUGUGGACUAGGAAGGUGUUGAUUGCAUCUUCUCCCAUUACGCAGGCAUUGUUCUCGCGUAUGCUAGUAAAAUAGUGGCUCUCAUACGAGUUUUGCAUCUUUUGAGUGCCAUGGUUUUUAUCAAUUUUCUAAAGGACUAACUAGUUUUGUAAUCUUUAUGAUGUCCUAUUAGGUGAAUAAUUUGUCGGUAAACAUUCUGCCGAUCUCAUACAACUGCCCAAGCCUCAGUCAGAGUUCUUAUUCUUCAAAUGACUUGCCCAGAAAUGUAGUCAUUACCCUAAGUCAAGGUUCACUUGUUAAGAGUAUGGAUUUCCAUCCAGUGCAACAAAUUCUGCUGCUCGGUUAGCACUUCUUUCAUACUCUAUGAAGAACAUGUUCCAUGCUUUUCUUCAGUUGGAUAUACUUGUUCCUAUUGGAGGCCAUAAGUUUGUGCUUUGGUUCUUGGAAGAUUGCUUUUUGAUGUUCUUUUGACACUAGCUUCAGCUAUUUUAAACCACGGGCUAUGAUUCUUCAAAUUUUAUGCUUCAAUAAUUUUCAGUGGGAACAGAUAUGGGCAAUGUUAUGGUUUUUGAAGUAGGCAGCGGUGCGAGGAUUGCUUCGAGAAAAUUCAAGGUUUGGGAUUUGGGAACACGUUCAAUGGCGUUGCAGGUAUGGAAGUUGAAUUCUAAAUGAAAUCAUGGCAUCUUGUUUUUGGACAUGUGAUUAUGAAUUUUAAUUCUUUGUAGGCUUCUCUGGCCAAUGACUAUACAGCAUCCAUUAACCGUGUAAUGUGGAGUCCUGAUGGAAUCCUUUUUGGUAUGUACAGAUGUCACUUCUACUUGUAUAUCAACUUAAGAAAUUGGGCAAUACAUACUUGCAAAUUGAUGAAAAAACUAAAGCUCCAAGAACCAGACUUCAUUGCAAUAUUUUUGAGGAAGAAGUGUCCAUAUGUUGCUUUUACUAAUGAUUUAUGGGUUUCACUUUAGGUGUUGCUUAUUCCAAGCACAUGGUGCACAUAUAUUCAUAUCAUGGUGGUGAUGACAUAAGGAACCACCUAGAGGUUUGUUGCUAAACAAGGAGAAAAAAAUUAAGCUUCUCUGUUCUGCUGACAAUUGCCACCUACAUGUGAAUUCAACUUGAUUUUGACUCUAGCUAAUGUCUGAUACAGCUCGAGGCUCAUGUGGAAGUGUUAAUGAUCUGCUUUUCAUAUCCAAACAAACAGUUAUGUGUUGUGACCUGUGGAGAGGACAGGUUGAUCAAGGUAUAUUUUGAUUGUUUUCCUCAGCAUUAUGAUGUUUUGUUGUUUGAUCCCUUUUAACCAAGCUAGUAGUUACGUAGGUAUGGGAUGCAGUGACUGGGGCUAAACAACAGACUUUCGAGGGUCACGAAGCACCUGUAUAUUCCAUUUGUCCACACAAUAGAGAAAAUAUUCAGGUACCUGCUUAUUUCGUGUACUAACAAGGACACGCUGCAAGCAUGGCCAAUUGGCUGUACGCUUGACCAUUCAAUGGACUUUCUUUGCUAAAACUCAGUUAGGUCAAAAAAUUUGAUUCAAUUUGUAUGAGAAGUGUGAAUAUGUGUUCUAACGGACCUUGUUCAUUUCAAAGAUUUUGCAAGUCUUCCGAAUUUUGACCUAUCUUGAUUAGAAUGUGCUUGUUAAACAUGGUGACAUGGUCCAAAGAUUAAAUUGUGAAUUUGAUUAUUUCAGGCGAUGCUACUGAGCAUGGACAACUGGGUAAAGGUUUUCGCAAUAAUGACUUCCUUGUUAACAUAAGUUUAGAUGGAAAAUUGCUUUGCUUCCAUUAUUUGUUCUCCCUUAGUUUCUCCUCUAGUUUUGAUUAGUUAAAUUAAUAAUAGAUUGAUGUUUAUUGUGCCUGGGUGGAGCAGCAAUUGGCGAUGGCUUUUUAAUUUUUUUUUUUAAAUUUAUGAUUGUGUACACUUUAUUAUAAAGAUAUUUAAUGAUAUCUAUUAGGGUUUUAGGUGGAUGUGCUCUAUCUGGACAUGUUAUUGAAAUUGAUUGUAGGAUUGUUUUAUUGUGUAGCUCAUCUUCUCAAUAGCAAUAGAUGGGAAAAUUAAGGCUUGGUUUUAUGACAACAUGGGGUCAAGAGUUGACUGGGAUGCACCAGGUCACUCUUUUACCAAGAUGGCAUGCAGUGUCAAUGGAAAAAGGUUCAGACCAUCAGCAUUGCAUUUCAAGCUUGAUUUUAUCCCGUGUCAUUCUUUAUGACUGAAAUAACCUAUUUUAACAAUUUUAUUUGGCUAUAGGUUGUUCUCAUGUGGAACCAAUAAAGAAGGAGAGUCAUACUUGGUUGAAUGGAAUGAAAGUGAGGGGGCUAUCAAACGUACUUAUCAUGGACUUGGAAAGAGAUCUGAUGGGUUUGUGCAAUUUGAUAUCGCUAAAAACAGAUUUUUGGUUGCUGGAGACGAGUCCAUGGUCAAAUUUUGGGAUAUGGACAAUAACAAUAUUUUGACAAGUAUUGAUGCUGACGGUGGAUUGUCGGUAAUUCAUUAUUGUUAAUUUAAUCCAAGUGAAUAAGCUGAACCUUUCCAUUAAACUCGCUCUUUAAAUUUGCAGGCUUCACCUUGCAUUAGAUUUAACAAGGAGGGAAUUCUAUUAGCAGUCUCAACAAAUGACAAUAGUAUCAAAAUUUUAGCAAAUGUUGAUGGGAUUAGGCUGCUAAGGACAAUGGACAGUUGGCCUUUUGAUGCUCCUAGAAUCACUCUGGGACCUCUUAUGAAGGUAAGCUUUUUCAAGCUCACACUAGCUUCAUUGAGAAGAGCUCGCUAAAUGUCGUCAAUCUUGUACUGCCACCAAUGAUUGUGAUAUUUAGUUCUGGUAAUGCUACUAUUGGGGCAAACCUAGGUAAUAGAGGGGUUCCGGUGGCAAAAUUAAAAUGUUUGAUCCAAUUUCCAGUGCAUUUGAUAGAGAAGUCUAGAAAAAUCCAAAAAAUAAAAUAAAAUCUCACAGGAUUAUCUAAAGUUUUGUGUGGAAAAAUCCGUAAAAAUUAUCUAUGUAGUGUGGCGGAGACACUUGCCUUAUAAAUAUCUCUGACUCAAGCAAAUAUUUUUGCAUGUCUUAGCCGCUGAUGCAAUCUUAUGAAAAGGCUUUGGGUCGUCCAAAAGCAAACACAUUUGGGUCUCUAUUUUUAAAAUUUUUUAUUCUCAAAAACUGAUUUGAAAUGAAAAUUCAUUUGAUAAUGUAAUCUUUUUUGAACAAUUUUUUAGUUAAUAAAUAAUUUUGAAAAUAUAUAAGAAUAAUUUUUUUACAUUUCAAAAACAAAAACAAAAAUAAAAUUUUUUCUCAUUACUUGCUUUCGUCAUACGCGACCACCGUCACUCGUCAACCACUCGCCUACUCGUCGCUCUCCACCAAUUGAUAGUCACCGCCUAGAAAUUAUCUUUGCUCAAUUUCUCGUUCAUGGAUUAAAAAUAGAAAAAUUUAUUUGUGAUUAGAAAUUAUUCACAUGAAUUAAAAUAGUUAUCGUUCGUGCCCAUAAUACACCAACUAAAAUAAACCUCUCUACCUUCGUUUGUAUUAUGCAUAGUAUAAUAAAAGCCUUCCUUAUAUAUAUAUAUAUAUAUAUAUAUAUAUAUAUAUAUAUAUUCUUGUGUUCCCUUGCUGCCGCUUUCCGAAAUCCUUGUCCUAUUGUAUUACAUCAGCAGCAACUGUGACUUGCGGAGCAUUUUUUCCUCACGUCCAUCCAGUCAUAUUUUAACACAUCUCUGUGGAUUUUGAAUUAAAAAUAAAAUUCCCUGAUGAUCCAUCGGCCAUGGACCUCGGACUAGCCGGCUGCCACCCUUGAACACCACCGCUCCGGAGGCCGAGCUCCAAAUCUAGCCGAGUCGUGGCCUCCGCGCCGCACCAGAUCUAGUCCACCUUCACUUGCUUCAAGCUCGUCCAUGGCCGCCUCCGAAUCCGGUCGAGCUCGACUCUACGCCAGAUAUCGUCUGCCUUAAAAACGGUUCGAGCUCGGCGGCUCCUCCAUGACCGCCGAGAAGCCGCCGAGAUUUCGGUCACAACGUCGAGCUUCGCAGCCAUAGAAGGCCAUCACCUCCAGAUGUAGAGGCUCAAUGGCAAUGGAGGCCGAGCGUCCAGAUCUGGCCGUGGCGAAGGUCGUGACAUCACCUCGAGCUGCAGCAAUGACCGCCGUUAGAGGUCGCCUUAAGAGACGGCGUUAAAAGUUGCAGACGGCCAUGGACAGAGCGUGUAACAAGAAAGGAGACAAAAAAAAAAAUAGAAAAGAAAAGAAGCAAAGAAUGGUGGGGAACAAUAAGAAAAAGAAACAUCUUUUCCAACUUUUCAACAGCAUCAUCGGCAUGAGCCACGCCGACGACCAUGGACGGCCAGAUCUCGAGAGCCAACGGUGUCGCUGGCCAUGGCGGAGCAAGGUUCGUGUGUGAUGCCGACGGCCAUGGACGGCCAAAUUUGGAGAGCCAGCGGCGUCACUCGUCUAGGUGACGCCCAUGGCCAUGGUCGGCCAGAUCUGAAGAGCCAGCAGCGUCACCGACGCAUCAUCGGCCGUGGCAGCUCGUCCGAGGUCAAGUGGCUGGCUUUGGACGAACGAGGAAGAUGAAGCUAGAGGAAACAGUUCCACCACUCAAAGAAACUCCACAUCAAUAUUUUUUAAUUUAAUUCAAGACACGUAAUAAACUUUUUUAAGUGGAUAUCAAGGAAAAAAUGCUCGCCCCAUCAGCUGACGCGGGGCUGUGAAAUCACUUAAUAUUUUCCCCUUUCCUCACACAUCUACACACAUGGCACAUAAACUAGAAAACCAUCGGGCAGCAAUGGUAGGGAUGGUAAGUGGUAUCAUUACUGCAUUAGGUCGUUAAAUUUUUAUAAGGAGCUUUAUUUGUUGCUUAUUUUAUACUUAAAUGAUGCAAUAAUUGCAUUUGUAUGUGCAUAUUAUUGGACGUCUUUCAAUGACAACCUCUCUUUUGAGCUCUACAGAAGCCCAGAAUUGCCGAUGACUCGACAGACAAAUCACGAAAUUGGAAACUGACAGAAAUCAACGAACCAUCACAAUGCCGGUCCAUAAGGCUGCCUGAUAACUCUACAGCUACGAGGGUACAAAUGACUGCCAAAAUAGGAUUUUUCUCAUGUAAAUUUUUAAGUGGAUGUCAAGGGAAAAAUCUCGCCACAUUAGCAGUUAACACGGCGCUUUGAAACUGCCAAAUAUUUUCUCCUUUGCUUCUCGCACAUCUACACGCACUAGCAUAUAAACUAGAAAACCAUCAGGCAGCAAUGGUAGGUAUGGGAAGUGGUAUCAUUACUGCAUUAGGUAGUUAAAUGUUUUUAACCAGCUUUAUUUGUUGCUGACGCUGUUAGUUAAAUGAUGCGAUAAUUGCAUUUGUAUGUGCAUGUUUAUUGGGCGUCUUUCAAUGACAUCCUCUCAUGUGAGCUCUACAGGACAGUGAGAACAUGGCCGAUGUGAAGCUCGGAAUUGCUGAUGACUCAGGAGACAAAUUGCGAAAUUGGAAACCGACAGAAAUCAAUGAACCAUCACAAUGCCGGUCCAUAAGGCUGCCUGAUAACUCUACGGCUGCAAGGGUACAAAUGAUUGCCACAUUAGGACGUUCUUAUGCAGCAUUUCUUUUCCACAUUAAUCUCUCACGUUUCUACUAGAUAAGAACAAAUUUGAAUAGGGGUUGCAUUUAAUGCACUUGCUUUACUAGCUUUAUUCACAUGUGGUCCAAUGAUUUAUCUCUUAAACCUCGGCACUCAAAUGCAAUUAUUGCAUCAUCAUUUGGCAUUUUAUAGUUGACUGAUUGUUUCAACUACACAAAUAGGAAAGGAUAAGAUCAACAUUAAUAAAUCUAUGAUGAUGGCGUGGCAAUUGUGCUUGAGUUAUGUUGGCUGUGGAGGUCAUGAAUUUUAUAAUAACGUUGAAUAGCAAGAUGGAUGAUUCCUGAUUUAGAAUGUAAUGGUAUAUUUGCAUAACGAGACUUUUUUAGCCUUUGCUUGGAAUAUGGAUUGUUCUGUGGACUUUCAUGCAGUUACAUCUGGUAAAAGACAGAUUAUUUACGGGAUGAAUUUGGCUUUAUACAUGGCAUGCAAAGUAUAUCAUUUUGCACCACUUUGAUGCUUGUGGGGAAUGCUAAGCUCGUGAAAGCUAUUUUGACCUUGUCAAUUCCCAGAAACUGUAAGUGGAAAUUUACCUGCUGAAUGUAAAUAUACAAAACACUAGAGGCAAAAGAAUAGAUAGACAGCUAGAUGGUUUAAGUCAAGGUUCCACUUUUCUUUUGGUAACUGUUUCAACUGGGUUUAGAUGUCAUUUGUAUCAUAUGCUCUAUUCAUAUGUAAGCAUACAGUAUGCAUAUAUAAAUAUGUGUGUGUGCGCGUGCGUGCUACUAUGCUGAUAGAUAUGCAGGCAGCGUCGCCAAGUGUCUUUUUGCAUGGAUAUCUGCAUCUAUCAAUUAGUGCCCAAAUCUCUGGCAUCUUUCUUCUGCAUUUUAUUUUGACUUUCGGUAUUACAUUUGAUUGUCGCCACUGAAGCUGGUAAAACGAAACAGGUCCCAAGAUUGAGCUAUAUAAACUCGGGUCGUGCCAUUCUGGCAUUGUCAUCGAAUGCUGUACACAAGCUCUGGAAAUGGGAAGAAAGUGAUCAAAACUUAACGGGCAGGGUAAGGAAAAAAGAGGCAAAUUCUUUUGUUGUUUAGCGUAUUGUUAACUACAUUGAUUCUUCUUUUCGCAGGCUACAACUAGUGUAGUACCACAGUUAUGGCAACCUCCCGGUGGGAAUUUGAUGACCAAUGAUACAUGUGGUGCAAAUCCUGAAGAUGCAGUUCCGUGCUUUGCAGUGUUAGAGAAUGGUCCUUUUCUAAUAUCAGCAUCAGGGGGGGAGAUCUCUUCGUUCGAUAUGAGGACUUUUAAGGUGAAUAUUUUCCCUAAGAGAUGUAUACAUCCUCUUGUCAGUUUUUGUAGCACUAUCCACAAGGCACGAGAUGAUGAACUACCCCUUUGUGCUUACUAUGCCCAGUAUUUCCUCCACAUUUUUAUGGGAGCUAAAAUUAAUUGGUUCAAUCAUGUAUAAAAACGUAUUGAACUCUAAUUGUUAGGAGGUCCAUGAAAGCAAUUGCUCCGAUUUUCAUGGGGAUUAUCUGUUCAAGAGUGCAGCAUGUCCCUUUUUACUUGCUAAGCGAGAUAAGGGCUUUUCAGUGUCUUCGAUGGAAUCUUUUUGCUCUUAUUGAUUAAAGAAAACAAGCAGUGCUUUUUUAACCCGUCUAGAGAUCUAUUGGUCCAACUUGUUCUCUCCCUUUCCUAAGAAGGGAGAUGCCAUUGAGGCAAGUGCCUCUUGGCACGUGUCCCACUGUUAUUUAUAAAGUUGUUAAUAUUAUCCUACAUGCUGAUAUGCAGACGAUGAAAAAAUUUAUGCCCCCGCCACCACCGCCACCACGAAACAAUGACAUUAUUGAGAUAGGAAUGGAGGACUCCGCUAUUCAAAUUUAUAGUGCUCGAGCUGAUGAGGUGAAACCUGUUUUCAUUGUCGUUGAAAGUUAACCUUGUGAUUAUCCACAACAAAGUUACGGAUAUUGACUAUUUUACUUUCUCAGAUCCAGAGAAAACUAAAAGGACAUCGGAGAAUAAUUCAAGGCUUUGCCUUCUCAACUUACUUAAAUGUUCUCGUGUCUUCUAGUGCUGAUUCUCAGGUACUAGACCAAUGCUUUUUUACUUGCUAGUGAGACAAGGGCUUUUCUGUGUCUUUAGUAGGAUCUUUUUGCUCUUACUGAUUAAAUAAAACAAGGCAAGAGCUUUAUUCCACAUUCCAUAAAUCUAAUAUUCGAAGUUGCCUUCUCCCUUUCGCAAGAAGGGAGACGCCAUUAAGGCAAGUGCCUCAUGGCACAUAUGUCCAACUGUUACCUAUAAAGUUGUUAAUACUAUUCUUCCUGCCAAUAUGCAGACAUUGAUAACAUUUACACCCCGACCACCACCCAUAACAUUUCUGGCGUCUUUUCCUCAAUGUGUAUAUGAAGCAAUAGGAAGGGAGGACUCCUCUAUUCAAAUUCACGAUCAUCGAAUUCAAAAGGUGAGAACUAAUUUUAUUGUUGUUCAAAGUUGACCUUGUUAUUAUCCACAACGAAUAUAUGGAUAUUGACUGUUUCACUUUCUCAGUGGGUGGCAAAUCUAAAAGGACAUCAGAAAAGAAUUACAGGCCUUGCCUUCUCUAAUGUCUUAAAUGUUCUCGUGUCUUCUGGUGCUGACUCUCAGGUACAAGACCACUACCACAUCUUCCUUUCCAUGUAGACAUGCCUAUGUUUUGGGUAGAGAUAGCAAUGUAGUUUAACCUGCUCCAAAAAAUGGGUUGAUGUUCACUCUGGAUAUAUUGAUGCUUACGCCCUCAUCAUACGUCAGUACACGAGGCAUCCUUAACUAGGCAGAAUAAAUCCUUCCAGAAAACUUCUUCUUUUGUGGUGACAGAUUAAUCCCAUCCCAUUAAGUGGGAAAUAAAAAAGCUAUGUUGUCAUGUUGUUGCUUACAACUGAUGCUUGGUGUUAUUCUAAUAUAAAAUACAACGUAAAAUUUUAUUGUUGCAUUAGUCAAUCAAUGUUGAUGUUCCCUUUGAUAAUUGUCAAUUGUCGCUGCAGUUGUGUGUUUGGAACACUCGUAGAUGGAAGAAGCAGACUAGUAAGUUUCUGCGAAUGCCGAAUGGGCGAGGAGCAGCGCCUCUUGCUGAUACUCGUGUUCAAUUUCAUGUGGAUCAAAUACAUCUGCUGGUUGUUCAUCAAACACAGAUCGCCACAUGUGAAGCUCCUAAACUAGAAUGCCUCAAGCAGGUAUUGAAUAUUUUUUUUAUUAUGCACAAUCCAAUCUCUCAUCUCAUCUUGAUUGCAUAAUAAGUAUCAAUAUAUUAGAUAGUAUGAGUCGCUUCAUGCCAAAUGUGUGUUUUUUUUUCAUUCAUUGUUGAUCGCAACUAGUGGGACACUCGAGAAGCUAGCGCUCCAAUCACAGAUGCUACAUAUUCAUGCAAUGGCCACUCAAUAUAUGUGAGCUUUGAAGACGGGAGCAUCGGUGUUCUUUCUACCUCUACACUCAGAUUGAUAUGUUGUAUUAAUCCUGCGGCUUAUAUCCUUCCAAAACCUAGGUAAGUUGGUUAUUGCUGCUCACUUAACCUCAUUCCUUUAUGGAAAAUGGCAAGUCUCAUUCGCAAAGUUCCAUAGUCUCGUGAAUUAUUCAUUCCUUACUGAUGUAUUUGGCAGCUUGAGAGUAUACCCGCUAGUCAUCGUAGCACAUCCAUCAGAACCUAACCAGUUUGCGCUAGGGCUUACUGAUGGCAGCGUGUAUGUGCUUGAGCCAUUGGAAUCUGAAGGAGAGUGGGGUGGUUCUCCUGUUGAAAAUGGUGCUGGGCCUAGCACGACCUAUGGCACAACCAAUUCAGAUCAACCCCAAAGGUAGUGCAGGCCAUGUCUCUCCCUGUGAAACUUGUGAGCAUUACAAUGCUAAGCCGGCUUUCCUCCACCUUACUUGAUUCAAGUUUUGAGGGGAUGCUGCUGAGGGUAGAUUUUACUACCUCAGGGUACUUCCUUGCAACAUAGUUCGGUAUAGUUUGUCCUAAUCGACUUCUGCUCAAGUCUUGUGGUGAUAACUUGCUUUGUUAUAUUCAUUUGGGUUGACUGGAAGUGAAAGAAGAAAAACAUGAGAUUAGAGUGUAGUUUUGAAUACAACAAAUUGGAGGUAGAGAGGAUGUCCCACUUCCUACACAACCAGAAACCUAAGGACUUGAUUAUACUAGUUAGUUAACCAAUGUCUUUUUAGUACCUAAACUUAAUUAAUUUAUAAACUAAUUGUCCACACAAUUUUUGACCAUUUUAUUAACCUAUGUUACUAAAUGAUGUUCAUGUAUGAUUGCACGAUCAAUUAAAAAGUAAACAAUCACAAUCAAUGUAAUGGAAGUAAAUUAGAAGAAAGUAGACCCAGUGGAGUGUCAAGCGAAGAAUCAUAUGGCUUUGUUAUUAAGCCUCUGGGCAACAACCUGUGCUGAAUUCAAUUGAGGCCAAUUCAUCAAAAGAGUGCUCUACCUAAACCUAAAUAAAUUAAAGUUACUUAUCAAAAACCCCCUAAACUAUAUGUAUACUAACUAAAUAAACUAAGCUAAAUCUAGCAUCACAACUUAACGACCUAAUCAAGGUCUCCGUUCCUAGCAAUUUUCAAAUUUUUAUUUUUUUUUGAAUUUUUGGAAAUUAAUUCUUAUCAUUUUUUGAAAAUAGGGACCUGAGCUCCGGCUAUGAGCUGGACGCUGGUCUCACGAAUCUGGGAUAAUAACUAAUAACCACAGUUCGGGCUCUAAUGUUCAGGCCCCUCCAAUUCUAACUUCACUGAGCCCAAUUUCGAUUAUACAUAUUCUAAGCCCACUACCCAUCGUAACUACUCUAGCCCAUUUUCUCUUCCAACUUCACCUAGUCCAUCUUUAAGCCCGAUUUCUAUUAUAGGUAGAUUAAACCCUAAGCCCGCUCGAAACCCAUCUCAUUAUUAUAUUUAAAUCAAUUCUCCUCUUUUCUUACGUCUUUUCGUCAUUUUUUUUUAUAUAUUAUUUUCUUCUUCCUUCUUCCAGCCCUUUGUCCUCUUGGGCAAGUCAAGAAUCUAACCAGCCAUUUUCUCGCCGAUGAGCUCCAUAGAGACUUAACAAAAACAUAUGUGAAAUUAUAGAACGAAAACUCAAGAAAAAUCUAUGUUCUGAUUUGAUCUUGAUAACAAUGAAUUUUAAUAAGAAUUAAAUCUGAAUGCUUAUGGACUGACUUGUAGCAAGUAAUGUAUGCUAAAAUUUCUUCAGAUUGAACUAGAUUAGGAAUUAUUUCACCAAUAUAUCUUAGAGACAUUUCAUCAAACAGUAUAUGUGCACCAAAGGGAUUGAAUCUUGUCAAUAAUUGAAGUUUUUUUUUUCGUCUAAAAUCAAUGUCAGGACCAUGAAGCCAUUACAAAUCAUCAAAUUACAACCUAGAUCAUCAGUGAUUUUCACAUUAGUAACCUGAACGUGGUCCAGUCAUGCAUCUUUCCGAAACAGGGCAAGAAAGAGGGGAAUGAAAUUAUCUUCUCAAGGAGUUCUCAGUUGAGAACUAAAGGCUAAUGAACAAACUAACGGCUAGACAUAGUCUGGUUUCUGGGCAUUUAUGCGUCCGAGUAAUGCAAGUUGGACUUAAUAGAUGUGGAUGGGCCAUGGGCUUGGCUUGGACGAAUUGGAUCGAGCCCAUCGCAUUGAAUAGAUAUCCUUUUAAAUUAGUUGAUGAAUUGAAUUCCCUUCAGUUAUUAUUUUUUGUAAUCUUCAUUUUGGUUUUAUUUAUUCAUAUCUUCAAUAUAAACCGCCUAAGUUGCCGAUUUUCCUUUAAUUGUUGACUAAAAAUCAAACAUCCACGGCAGGUCCAAGACCUCAAAAUUGGUUGAAGCAAUUUCCUAAGAGUUGUUGUAAUCCUGAAGGUGCUACAAUUGAGAAAUGUUUGACAAACCCUUCACAAAAGCCGCAAUGCCCAUUUUCAUAGUCCAAGUAACUCCUAACAUUAAUUAUUCAUACUAUUUUCAAAAUAAUUCAUAUAUUUUUAGAUAGUCAUAAUAUGAAUAAUUUAUUUAGCAAUUUCUAUUAAGAGUCGAAUUGUUAAUUCGAAACUUUCAAGCAAAGAAUUAUAAAAGGAGAUUGCCAAAGGCAUUGGAAGGCAAUUUGGAAAAAGAAGUAUUUUAUAAGAGUCAUAAUAAGUCAAAAUUCAACAAAAUGUCAAUCGAAGUGCUUAAUCAUGAAAAAGAAGAAGCGAUACCAAUAUCAAAAACCAAAGAGCUGUUGGCAGAAUCAAAAUUUCCUUCUCAUCUCCUGUUGGUGUAUAAACUAUUUAUUUAGUUCCGAAAAGAAUAAAUAUAAAUUUACGUUUAUUUUGUCACAUAGUUUAACUUAAAAGUACUUUGAUUUGAUAGGUGGAACCAUCACAACUAAACUGGGUAAGGUCUCUCUUUAAUUUUUGUGGGUAUAUAUUUACAAUGUUAAUAAGUACCUGACAUUUAGAAAUGCUGUGGACAGUAGCUCUCCUUCAUCCUUACAAUGAAUGUCAAUACAACGAAAAUUAAUUAACCACAUUUAAGCCAUUCUCAAUUACUUGCAAGCAUCUGCACACAAAGUGAAACCUGCUUAUUUCCGUCUUCGACUGGGCUUCUUACUCUUUCUAGCUGGGGUCGACUGCUCCAAAGGCACUGGUAAUAGGGUUCCUCCUUUAACACCAUCUUUAUCAUUCAUCUUAUCGAGAGUUUUCUGGGCUCCAAUAUACACCUUAAGGUCUCUGAUCUGUGAAGGAUGACAAGGGACAUGCCACCGUCAACGCACACUAUGCACGCACGCGCGCAGAGUUUUCACAAUAUUAUAUACAAAUUAUUACAGUUUUAAGGCUAAAAGAAAAUACCUGUUCUUCUAAGUCAAGUAUUUGUUCAUCCUUCAACUUCAGUGACAGAGUUUUCCUGCAGAUGCACAGAAGCGUAUGUGUCCUCCAUUCAUGUCAAAUUAGAAGGGAAGACUAAAUUCCUGACAGCUUUAAUUGACUGGAAUCAUAUACUGAAAAAGUGUCGGUACAAUUGACAAUAAUGCUUAUUGAGGAAACUAGUCCACGUAACUUCAAUGAAGAUGGACAAGACGAGUAUACUUCAAAAGGCUGCAUGAAUUUUUCUAUAAAGAAAAUAUUGUAGGCAUAUUAAGGUACUUAAAAGGCAUCUACACCUAUAUUGCUUGACAUGUGAAGCUCAAAUAAGCUUUAAGUCUACCCAAUGUAUCUUCUUUUCCUUUUAUUUUCUAUUUUGUGAAAGUUGGAAAUGUCGACAUAACGCAGUAUGAACAACCAAUCGAAUUUUAAUUGGAAUUAGUAGAAUUUCAAUAUUGAACCAUAUCAAUUAAAAUUUGAAUCCUGAACCAUCACAGAUUAAUGUUCAAAUAUCUCCAGUGUGUAAAAAAGUACUUUGAAAUUGGACCACCACCAUGAAGAUUUUAACAUUGAUUUCUGUCGAUAAAGUUCAACCUCUAAAGCAGUAGCACUAUUUCUUCAGAGGAAAACAAAAUUACAGAUGGAGCAUAUAUAAACAAAAGAACAAAAUUAUGGAGAGCACCGACACAUGGAACCUUCUCCAUACGUGCUUCGCUCUCUCCUUUCUCCUUUUCCCCUCUUUGUCUCUUUCUUUCCCUCGUUAGAGUUUGUCCCAUCUUGCCACUUUUUUAAAAGGAUUCAAUAAAAAAACACCAAAAGCUUUUUCAUCUUCUUGCCACAUCCCCCAACUAAUAAUUAACCUAAACUUAAUUAUCCUUCCCAAGUAUGGUGAAAGGAAGGCAUAUUACCCAUGUGAUAAACUCUUACUCAUCAUAAAAUGACUUUCAUUCUUUUGCCAUUUGUUAUGUGUUACAAGUCACGUAUAGUUGCUAUUCACAUAUUUGAAUUAGAAACUGUAUUUCCUCUUUCUUCUUCGAACUUUAACCUUUUUUACCUCACAUCUAAAAGUCCAUUGCACGUGAACACUUCCUCUUCAUGAUACCCUUCCCACUCUUUUCUCAUCUUCUCAAAUGUCUGUUUCCACUUCCUCCCUCAUGACCAACCUCACAUGAACUAUUACUACAAUGCUGCUUUCAUUUUACUGAUUAGUUUUAUGAGACUAUGAAUGCUAUGGUAUUACUUGUCUAGAGAAAUCAGCAAUGAAAAAUACCUCUCUUCAAUUUCCUUAACCUUUCUCCGCAUCAUAUCUUGGUUCUUGAUAAGAGUUUGAUUAAGCUGCAACCACAAGGAAUGGCAUCCGUUACUGUUAUGAAUGAGUGAAAACUAUUGCAUCUGAUUGUAAUAUGAAAAUGAGGCAUGUGAAAAACAAGCAAAACAACAAUCAGCCUUGGCUUCAGGCAGCCCUCCUCUCAAACUUUAAACAAACAAAAAUCACAAAAGGUAAAACAGAGAAGACUAAAGCCUUACCUCUGCCACGGCCUUCUUUUCAUCACCAAGUUUCCCCAACUUACUAUGGAUGUCUUCAAUCUUUGAAGUCACACCUUUCUCGAUUGCUUCUAGUUUGGAAUUUUCUUUUCUACUUUUGGCUUCUAACAUGAGAGACUCAUAAUGCUAACAGAGAAAAACAAAAGAAUUAAUAGGGGAUGAUAUGUUCAAGGACUUACAAUGUAUUCUUUAAAGUCAGUCUAAGGAUGAUGGCAGUCUAUGUAACAACAAUGACAAACAUGGGUUAGAAAUGGAACACUAUCAUCAACAGUAGCAUGGGCAGUUUAUAUAUAAUCUACUGGCUUUUGUAAUUCUACUUCCGAUACAACAGGUUUUCAAUUCAGAUACUCUUCCUUCUAAGACACAUCACAAAAAGUCAAUAAUAAAAGAGUCCUGGCACCUUAGGGAAACUCAAUUCAUUUUCUACCACAGAUAUAUUAGUAAGAAAACAGAAAAGAAAAGAAGAAUACCGUAAGUUUUGCAUUUCUCUCGAGCUGAUGCAAGCCCACUAGUUCUCUUAUACUUCCUAUAUAAGCUCAUUAGACAAAUGCAGUAUGCAAAUCGACAGGUAUAAAAUGUUGUACACUACAUAAAAGCAAAUGAAGCUGAGAUUAUACAACAUGAGUGUAAUUACUUUCCUUCUCUUCACAACAAUUCUGACAAUCCCAUUGAUUUCCAAGAGUAAAAUGAGUUCACUUAAGGAAAAAAAGAGAGAGAGAGAGAGAAAAGAAAAUGGACAAACAUUUUUUGAUCUGAAAUAACUAAACUAAUGUUCUAUUAUGGUUUUCUCCUAAAAUAUGUGUACUUAAAAACCAUUACCUAAAGCAAAAGCACAAUCGAACGCAAGCUUUCACAAGUAAUGCUUAUAACCAUGGCUGAUCAGUCAAUAUAAUAAAAUGUAAAAGACUAAACAGGGAGAAUUGAAAUGGUCUUGGUAUACGCAUGCUUACUUUUCUUUGCACUUCCAGCUGACUUGAAGCUAGAUGAAUAUAGUCGGCGUGAAUCUACAAAAAAGUAAAGCUACAGUGUCAGAGUAAAUGAAGAAAGUCUGACAAUUAUAAUGGAGGCAAUAUCCACUUUGCAGGCCCAAUAAUGAACUUGUGACAUUUGGCCAACAAAAUGAACAUGUGCAGUACAAAAACAGAAACAGAAUCUUUCAUUGUCAGUUGUCAGCACCUAAAACAGUAAAAGCAUCAUGCACCUCAAAACUUCAAACAUUUCACUUAACUGAGUCCAAGCUCCAAAUCUUUGCAGGGAAAGGGGAACCAGAAAACAAAAAUAUUCAAAGCAUAAAAAUAAGAGGACACAUGAACCUACUGCUUCGAUUUUGCUGCUGAAGAGCGCCCCACUAAUUUCAGAAUCCUCGCUACAACCGCAGCUACCACAAUCUCCUUCAAGUGAUUCACAGUAUGAAUUCAUCUCCAAAAGCUUGCCGUCAGCUUUUGAUUGAUUAAGCCAGUGAACAUAAGUGUCCCCAACAUAAUCCCAAAUUUGCUGUGUUCUUAAAUCCAGAGAAUAGCAAUGUUGUGUAUUUUUCCAAUGGCUGAUUGCGUGGUUAUCUUUGUAUCUACAAAGCCAGAAAAGAAAAGCUAUGAUGAAGACAGCCUAUCCAAUCACUAAAAUUAUAGAAUGAGCGAAAAUUCCAGCACAUCAUGACUGGAUCCAUCACCUUCCACAUCCGACAAAACCACAUAUGAGACAAACCCAAAGAUUUUCCUUUGUUCCACAAAUAAAGCAGGAAGGUACCUCAUCUUGCUGUUGGCAUAGAUGGCAAACCUGGUAAAGAACAGAAACAGAAUCUUCUUCACAAUCUGUUAACAGAGGGGCAUCCCUGAUGAUGUUGCAAAAUGAAACUACAUUUCCAAUCAAGGUAAUUUCUUGCAACCAAAUCAAGAUAUGUGCUGUAAUUGACAUCUUUAGCAAUGUAAUUGGAACUUGCAAUAAAAUCAAAGGAAGACCCUUGGGACAUCACCAGCAUGGCAGACAUCAUGUUGACUUAUUUUAACCAUAAAGAUUGAUGAAUCAAGCAAAAGUUAGUAUGCACAUGUCUGUCGAUAUAUCUUCUACAUGGCACUUUUUCAACUUUUGAUAUUACAUGAGCUCAAAGGUACUUUUUUUAUACAAAUUCACAUGGACAGAGCAUAUUAGAACAUCACUUGAAAUGUAAAAUACGACCAUGAAACAUCUUAGCUUCAAGAUGGGGAAUGUUUGAGGUCAAAGAUCAGAAUUUUGACAUCAGUAUGAUCAUCCUGUACUUGUGAACACACACAUAACUUAUCAUGUAUGCUUGGCCACUGCUAUUACUUCUGUCACUCUUUGACUCACGAGAAAUUUGACAUAGGAGUGACAGGACCAUCGGAUCAAAUACACAUGAUGAGACAUUGCAAAGAUUCUUGUGUCAGAAUAUGAUAAUCAACAAAAAGUAACUCCUAGGAGCCACGCCAUUGACCUAUUCCAAAUCUCCAAAUAAAUGUCAUGAUAAUUUAAAAGAAAUCCUGAACUUAGUAAGCGCAAUAGAGUAAAGGAAAAUUCUACUUUUCAUUCAUAUACUUUCACACGACUUCUAAUCAUGUUUCCAUACUUUUAAUUUGCCUAACCAAGUCCAUCUACUUUAACAAUCUUUCUAAUCAAGUCUUUCCGACACUUAAUACAACCAAAUUCAAUUGAAGUGGCCCUUCGACGACAACAAUGUAUGAUGCCGAUAAAAUUUGCAGAUGCCCACGUGGACAUGUAUGGAAAAAUUUAGCCAAUGUAGACGACCUUGAAGUGUGACAUGGAUAAAAUAAUGGACGUCCACAUUAGAAAAAUUUUAUCCACGUCACACAAUGAAGACAUCUGGCAGUCACAUCAGCUGAAUUUGGCCUGAUUUGGUGUCAGAGAGACUUGAUUAGAAAAUUGGUAAAAGUAGAAGAACUUUAUUUAACAAAUUAACGGUACAAGGGACUUGAUUAGAAAAAAAUGUGAAAGUACAGAAUAAAAACAAUACUGCCACAACUGCUACAGCCAGUAUUAAUUAUCAAAAACCAACAAUUAAUCCACAGUCAGCAGAUUAACAGAGAGAUAGUGGCAGUAGCUUGGAAAUUACAUUAUAAAUUCAUCUAAUCCGUAUCAGCAGAAGAAUGCCUAACCUGACAAGACAAGUAAGUCCAUUUUGUACCACAUGAACAAUGAAAGGAAUGGUCACACUGCGUACUCAAAAUUCCACUGGUAUCUGGGUCCAAUCUCUGACAUUUUUUUAAAAAAAAGUUGCAACUCUGAACAACUUUUGAUAAACUCAUCUCACUGCGGAGGAAAUAUAAUCAGCAAGGGGGCACCAGCAUGGCUUACCAAGACAAACUGGACAAGAGGGUAGCUCCGUAAAGCCCGAUGGGGGUGUGCUAGCUACAUCAGCUGAUUCCGUAUAGUCCACUUCGUGCAGAUAUAGAAUAUGGCAUACCUCAGCCUGAAUGUCCAGAAGACGAGUAUUAAAAGUGAAACAGAAAUCGACUAUGUGAUCUCACAGCAUACAACAGGUGCAAAAAUUGCAAAUACCUCAGCAGGCGAGAAAUUCUUGCCAUUGAAGGUGCAAUAGAAACCAUCAGCAGCCUUUUGAUCGGUAAGCUCGAUCAGCACACUGUACCUAUCUUCCAUCCCAUCAUUCCUACAUCAAACGCACAAUUCGCAAUACAACGAUCACUAAAACCAUUAAAAAGCAUUUAAAAAAGAACCCAGAUCGGAAAACCCAGUUCCACCGUCGGAAUGCUUCCAAAAAAUUGAACUUUCAUCAUCGGACCCCCCCUAAGGCAUGAUCAUGAGCAAAUUUUUGAGUUUCGAGUCCAUCUUUUAGAUUUUUCGUCAGCGAAUUCUAAUUCCUCGAAUUCUCUCUUUCGCUUGCCCAAUUCAUCUCACCAACUGCAAAAACCGGUCCGAAGUCCCGAAGAAGAGGAGGAGAGAAAACAGAAACGAUGGAAGCCUUACCUGAUGAACCGGAGCUCGGAGACGUCGUCCAUCCGGGGGCCGCAGAACCGGAUGAAGUCGUCGGGGGAGAAGUAAUUGGGGACGGCGACGACGAAGAGGGUGGUGGAGCGGGCGCCGGGGCUCGAGAGGGGCGCGUGCGACAGCGUCCGGAACAGGUGGACCAUGCCCCUCCUCUCGGUGAACCUAGGGCUCCCCGGCGGCGGCGAGGAGGAGGAGAAGCCGCCGUAGUCGGUGGCGAGGGGGUGGUCGGUGUCCACCGAGUGGCCCCGGAAGAAGAACAUUUUUUAUUUAUUUCGGGUUUUCGAAAUAUAAAAAAAAAAAAAAAACUAAAUUUGAAAUUGAUAAUAUGUAAAUUGUCAUCCAAUUUCAUUGAUAUCAAAUUAAUUUUUGAUUGAGCAAGUCGAGAAUCAUGUGAAUUAUGUGAUUGCUUAUGAACGACAUAAUUUUAUAAUCAUCUGAUUCUCAUUUACUAUUAAAAUGAUGAUGCAUCUAGAUUGACAUUUGUAAUGAAUUCUAUAAACAUUGAAAAAGUAAAAAAUGAAAAAGGCCUAAACUGACCUAGUCGUGUAUUCUAUUUCUUUUGCUUCAUCUGACAAACAAAACAUGACCAAACAAGCUAGAUUACUCCUAAAUAUUCUAAAACUGAAAUGCAAGAGCAGUCGAGUGUCUAUUCGGCAUAAAAAUUGCUAUUACAGGUGAUUAUUAUGCAAGCCUAGUUUGGGCCAACAUCAGGAGUAAUGUGUUGCUCAAGCUCACUAAUAAAAUGAAUCAUACAUAGAAAUGUUGGGACACGGCUUAGGUGAAGGUCGGGCAAGCUAGGAUUUUUUACCGUAAGGAUAUUUUAUAGUCUCGGGGUCAUGUCUCUCAUUGUGAUGUUGCAAAGUGUAGAUUUUAUAGUCUCGAGGUCUUCCUCCUUACACACUUUGGCACAAUUUGUCUUAAAGUGGUACAAUUAACAUCCUCAUCGACUUGUAGAUUUUAUAGCCUUGGGGUCUUCCUCUGGACAUAGUUUGGCACGGUCUGUUUUAAGUGGUACAAUUAGCAUCCUAAUCGACUUCUGCUCAAGUCUAGUGGCGAAAAUUUGUUUUAUUAUAUUCAUUUAGGCCGAUUGAAAGUGAAAAAGAAGACUGACCAAAAAAAAAGAAAGUGAAAAAGAAGAACAUGAGAUUAGGGUGUUGCCUAAAGCGUUGUAUAUUCGAGUUGGAGACAGGUUUAUCUGAUUUUAGUUAGCAAGCUAAAGGAUCGUAGGAACAGGGUUUAGUUUUUGCAGGCGGCUUCUUCUCUUGUUCCUUUUGCGUCGUGCUGAAAGUACUUUUCUUAUGUAUUUUAUUUAUUCUUUUUAAUUUGCUGAAGUAGCAUUUGUUAGCACUUAGCAGGUUCUCUUUUCUUGUUCUUUCGCCACCAAAAACAAAAAAAAAAAAUCUUCUUCCUGUGUUCCUAUUAUGAACGCGAUUUGAGUGCAACAGCACUCAGACCUUGGAUGAAAGUAAAUACUUCGCCAUGGUCUAUCUCGACAUUUUGCUUAUUGGAAUGCAAUCUUUGGGAAUCAAGUUCCAUCUUUUUUAGGAUGAUGGUCUUUAACUGCAGUCGGUUAAACACUGCAUCGUCGGGGACACAAGUCGGUUAUUUCUCCAGCUUUUACAGUUAACGGACUUGAUUUUUUUCAUUUGCAAAUGGACACAAAGCAGGGAGGAGCAUGACAACGAGCCUCUUUUGAUCUCAUCUAUAUUCCUAUCACCCUUCCCUUACUACGCUAUCAGCCACCAAAGAGUACUUUCUCUCAGCACAUGAGCCUAUAUUGUCAUUGCAAAGUGCUUGCACUUCAAACAAAUGCGGAAGUAGGAUGUGCAAUUUAGAGUGUCUGAUUUGAUUCGUAUACAGCGGGUUCAACCCUCGACAAGUUUGGAUGUCACACCUUAAAAGGCACAUUCUUCUGAACGGCUGAGUUUGCAGAAUCAAUAGCAAAGUGAACCUAGUGGGCACGUUUUCUCCGAACAUUUCCACAAAAUUUGGAAUUAGUUCCCCUUACAAAUAGGAACGAGGGUUUUCCCCCUUAUGAGAAGAUGUUCUUGACCUGGGAGUUUAGAAGGGAGUAAGGGCCCGUUUGGUUCGGCUUUGGGGGAAUGUCAUUUGGAGAAUGCAAAUAUCUUUGAGAGAAAGAGGCUUUCGGAAAUGUUAGACCGUUUGGUAAAUUUUAGCAUUGAAAUGCAACUUGGCAUAAAUACCGUUUGGCAAACUUUGCAUUUGGAAUUAGCUUUUGGUAUUUUUUAAUUUCUUUAAAAUCUGAAAUCAAAUUCCCGGCGGCCGGCCACUGCCGACCAACCGCCGGCGACCGCCGGACGGCCAGAUCUGGGCCGUCGCCGGACCACCAGAUCUGGCCGCCGGAGGUCGCGGAGGCCAGAUCUGGCCUCGCCUGGUCGCCUGGCUCGCGCGAGACUAGGCGACCGAAUUUGGUCGGGUGCUCCGAGCACUGCUCAGCCCGUUGCGUGGGUCGCGCAACCCAGGCGACGCCGCCUGAGGCCGCGACCCACGCGACGACGGUGCGUGGCGACGGCAGUGCAUGGCGACGGCAGUGCGUGGGCGACCAGCUCCAGCUAGUUGAGCUCCGCCGGCUAAAGCUUCAAUCUUGAAGAAACAAUGAAGACGAGGAAGACGAUGAACAGUUAUUUUUUAGGGUAAAAGAAGAAAACUAAAUUAUCAAUGAGGGCAAAAGUGGAAGAAAAAAAAAAUCAUUAAACCCCCUUCAACAUGCCGAAAAUGCUGAAUGCCCAAAGCAGGUCCCCACCUGCUUUGGGCUUUCAGCAUUCCAGAGUAUUUUAAAUGCUAGCAUUCCCCCAAAUAUACUCCCAAAUGCUGAACCAAACGGCUGAAAUUUUUCCCAAGGGGCUUUUGGGGCUGAAAGCCCCUUGGGAAUGCUGAACCAAACAGCCCCUAAGAGCCACUUAAAAGCUGUCGUAGUUUUGGAGAUGGUAUCAAACGACCUCUCAAAAAAGUAAUCCCAGUAUGCCAAACAUUAAUUAUUUUGACCUUUUACAAAAUCGUUCAUAUAUUUUUAGACAGUCAUUAAAUAAAUCGGUUUUAUAGCAAUUUCUACAAAAGCCAAUUUGUUAAUUCAAACAAUCCAAGAAAAGAACAAUAGAAGGAGAUUGCCAAUGCCAUUGGGAGGCAACUUGGCAAAGCGAGCACUUUUGUGAGGUAUAAUAAGUCAGAGUUUAACAUCAUAUGGAUCAAAGUCUUUGAUCGCGAAUAAAGAAAUGGCAAAACCACAAUCACAAAACUGAGGGUAGUUGGUAUAAUCGAAAUUUCAUUAAAAACUACUGUCGGUAUAUAAACUUGUUAUUUUAUUCCAAAGACAAAAAUUAUAAAUAUAUUACCAAAGCAGAACAACAUAUAGAAGAACUGAAGUUGAGAUCUAGACUUCUUAAAUUUUGGGGAGAAAAAGUUUCUACAAUAAGUUUUUAGGUACUGCUUUCAAGAAUGCUUUAGUAAGAUUGGCGGAACUGUAACAACUAAACUGAGAAUGGUCUUUCUUUAAUUUUCAGCGUCUGGCCGAGUAUAUGCAUCUACAAUGUCAAUAAGUGCCGGACACCGAAACUCAAUUGAAGAGGAGGACUGGGGAAAGUCGGGGAGUUGCACCAUCCACAACCCCUCCAAGUAUAGAGGUUCUGCAGAACACUGGGCAGUGAAAUACCACCCUCAGGCCUCCCUUGCGUCCGCAGAUGCUGCUAACAGUACUUUUCCUUCCUACUUAUGACGAAUGUCGAUAAAAUGAAAAAACAAUUAACUACAUUCAUGCCAUUCUUGUUUACUUAUCAAGCAUAUGCACACGAAGUGACACCUGCUUAUUUCCGUCUUCGGCUGGGCUUCGUGCUCUUUCUGGUUGGAAAUGAUUACUCCAAACGCACGGGUAAUAGGGUUCCUCCUUUGACGCCAUCUUUAUCAGUCAUCUUACCGAAUGUUUUCUGGUAUCCAAUAAACACCUCAAAUUCUUUGAUCCGUUAAAGAUGACAAGGAACAUAUUGCUGUCAACACACGUUACAUACACAUACACGCGGUUGGCAAUAUUAUGAAAACCAUAUGAAGGAAUAAAGUUUUGAGGUUCAGAAAAUGUACCCGUUUAUCCACAUUUAGUAUUUUUUUCAUUCUUCGACUUUAGUGACAAAAUUAUCCUGCACAUGUGAAGAAAUCGUAUGUGUGCUUCAUUCAUGUCAAAUCAGAUGGGAGGACUAAGUUCUCCGGACAGCUUUAAAUUGACUAAACUCGUCUACAAGUUGCAUCAAAUACAAUCCAUAACUAUGCUUAUCUAGGAAGAUUAGCCCACAUGACUCGAAUGAAGAUGAACAAGAUGAGUAUACUUUAAAAUGCUGCAUAAUUAUUCUCUACCUUGUAUGCAUAUUAAGGAACUCAAAAGGCAUCUAAACCCACAUCGCUUAAUCUGUGAAGCUCGAAUAAGGGUUAUGUCGACCAAGAGCAUAUUCUUUUCCUUUUAUUUUCUAUGUUCUCGAAGUUGGAAAUUUCAACACUACACAUCAUGAACAACCAAUGAACUGUUAUUGGAAUUAGUAAAUUUUUAAUGUUGCAAUUAAAUUUUAGUCGCAAACCAUCACAGAAUUAUUUGCAAAAUUUUCUAGUGUGCAAAAUUGUACUUUGAACUCGAACAAUGACUGUGGAGUUUUGAACAUUAACUUUCUGCCGAUAAAGUUAAACCUCUAAGGCAAUAGCACUAAAACAUCAAAAGGGAAACAAAAUCACAGAUGAAACAUACAUUAACAAAGGAACCAAAUAAGAGAGAGGUCGUCCCGUCUCGCCACUUCUUUGAAACUUCUUCAAAAAAAAAUUCCCAAUAACUACCUACUUCAUCUUCUUGCCACGUCCUCUAACCAAUAUUAACUCAAACUUGGUCAUUUCCCUCCAAAGUAUGGUGAAAAGCAGGCAUAUUAUCUAUUCAAUAAAUUCUCACACAACAUAAAAUGACUUUUCCUUGCACCUUUAAUGAUGUGUCAUAAGUCAUUUAUAAUCACAAUUCAGAUAUUUGCAUUGGGUGUUGUAGUUUCUCUAUCCUCUUCCAACUACUUUCACCCUUUUUACCUCAAUUUGUGACACCAUCUAAAAGUUCAAACUAUUGAACUCUUCCUCUUCACAUUACCAUCCUCACUUUUUUCUCAUCUUCUCAAAUGUUAUUCCGACCUUCCCUCUCAUGACCGACCGACCUAACUUAAAUGAAUUAUGACCAGCAUUGACUUGGGCCAUUAGGUCCAGCAUGAUAGAACUCAAGCGGGCCGACCCUAACCCGAAUCUCUCUUCAACUGAAAUUCACAUGCCACAUGGCACGCUUCCAUUAGUUAAAAUCCUCGUUGUCUACAAUAGAACAAAUGACGCCCAAUGGUCUAAUCAAUUUUCGUGAAAACUGUGUGGGAGCACAAAACUCUAGUUUAAAAAUUUUUAAAAAAAAAAAACAAAGCUAUUCUACCACCGGCCAAUCAUUACAUGUUCCGACUCCUUCGCUGGUCGCGCCGUCGACCAUCAAUCUCAGGAGGAUCACGUUUGUUCAUUUCAUCGAGAGCACCAUUCCAGAACUAUUUUAAAUAUUAAAAAAAAAAAAAUGGAGCAAGGAAAAUUCAUCUCGAAAAGGCGAUUCCGUUCGAUUCAGUUGGCGAUUUCAAGCGUUCUGAAUUGAUCCCAGUGGCGGUCGCCCGCGUCAACAGCCUCUUCAAUGCCGCGACUCAUCUCCUUCGUUUCCCUUCCGCGGCCGAGAGCUUCGAAAUGUUGUCGUUCCGCUCGAAGCUUCUCCACCUGUUCAGGUUUCGAUCAUCGACACGUUCCAUAGCUUCUUUCAGUGAUUCGUGCGCCAAACCGCGGCCUCAGUCCGCUUGAUUAACCGGGUAGCAUCUCCUGUUCUGUCGUCACAAGUAAGAGGCCGAGAGUCCGAUUCUCUUAUUAUGAUGAAAUUGAUCAUAGCUGACUUUUUUUUCAUUGACUUCGAACAUCAUGUACUGAUUUAGGUUGAGUCUAGUUACAAAUUUGGGUUCGAAAUGGCUUUGAUCUGUUCCACAACCGAUUCACCAUAACCUGUUCGGUGAAAUGUGUCUGAGACCUUGGUGUGAAUUGAUUCCAGUAAUCUUCCGAUUUGAAAGCACAUUAGUGAUGUUCACUUGAUAUUGUUUGAUUUUUUAAUCUUUAGACAUGAUUACGAGUAUACACCAAUAGUUGCCAAGGAUGAAACUGACUCUCCGUUUGUUUCCUCGGUGGUUCCUGUGAUCUUUUGGUGAUUGGUGGUGGUUGGCGAGACGAGAAGGCUUGGAGUCACUGGCACACGCGUGAUCUUUGGUGAUGAUCAUAGUACACCCUGUUGAACAGAAUUCAGAUGACGUCGCUGAGCAUGAAUCGCGAUCACGCCAAUUCAGAUCACUAACUUUGGCCGACACAUGUUUCGGUCACUAACUGGAGCAAUGUUAUGGCUACUUGCUAGCCUUAUCGUUGCUGCUGAGUUGCCUCACAAUUUCCUCAACCGCCGAGCUUUGCUUCUGUCCAUGCCUUGCAGUCCAUCGUUGCCAUUGUAAUUGCUGUGGUAAACCUACCUUGCCAUACCGCCAUGCGUUACCGAUAUGGAUUGACGUACCGAUAGAGCUAUAUCCACUGCGUUUUGUUAAAAACUGGAUCACCUCAUACCACCGGCUUGUUUCUGGUCCAACUGAUUUUUAGAGUUGACUGUAUAUUCUGAUUUCCUUCACUCCUUUGUUUUUUAUGUUCAGGAUUUUGCGCAUCUUCUUAAACCGAAUCAUGGGAAAGCUAAGCGGUUCGAAGUCCAGUCAUCAUGGGGUCAAUACUUUGUCACAAAAUCAUCGCAGAUUGCCUGCUUUGCCAUUCCUGUCUUGUCCUUUGAUUAUUGAUUACUCCACCUUCGUCAAUUUCAUUGUCCAGAAGCAGGUGCUAAAUCUGAGAACACCCACUAAAAUGAUAUUUUAUGUCUGUCGUCUAUUUCCUGCUUUAUUCUCUGUGGAUGACAUAUUCUACUUCACACGUGCUGUCGAGGGAGAUCAUGGUCCACAAUCAAUAUGAAGUGAGCAAGUUGUAUUUACUCUCUGUCAUUAGUUGAUAAGCUUUUGGGUAUGACAAUCAAGGAAUGAAACCAGUUAGUAGCUUGCUCAGAAUUAGUAAAUGAGGAUUUAUUUCUUUCUUAGAAGUGUCAAUGCCAUCGCUUUGUCUCUGAUUGUGGAAAGAGUUUAUUGUUCUUUUUGAACUUGCAUAAAAAUCGAUGGAAUGCUUAUGAAGCAGUGAGAUACCCGGAAUUUACAAGUUUUAUGAAUUGGUGUGUCCUGUUGUUGCAUAUGCUGUAGUUUAGCGGUUAUUGUUCAUCUAUGUUUGCUGAACCGUUUGAUUUAUCACUUUCAAUUAACAAGAUUUUGAUAAAGACACGUGACAAUUGUGAGAGAUGCACUGAAACUGGCACUUUGGUGAUGACAGUGCUCCUUCGUGUUGGAGCACUGUCAUUUAUGAUGUUGGAGAAGUGAAUAUGUGUUGAAGGUGCCAACCCCUCGUGAUCUUGGACCCACUCGUUGAAGAAAUGGAGAGGUAUAAACGUAAUCACUUUCCUUCUCUUCGCAACAAUUCUGCCAUUCCCAUAGAAGUUCCAAGAGUACAAUGAGGUCACUUAAAAAUAAUAAAACAGAAAAUGGAGAAACAUUUUGAAUCGGAAGUAGAUAAACUAGUGUUCUAUUAUGGUUUUCUCCUAAAAUAUGUGGUGCUUAGAACCAUUGAGAGAGAGAGAGAGCUUUUCGGAGUAAUGCUUACAACCGUGGCUGAUCAGUCAAAUAGCACAUUGGACAAUGUACAAGACUAUGUUAAGCAGGGAGAAUUAAGAUAGGUAUCCGCGUGCUUUAUUUUCUUUGCGCUUCCAGCUGAGUUGAAGCUAGAUAUAGGUGGCAUGCAUCUAUGAAAAAGUAUAUCUACAGUGCCAGAGUAAACGAGGUAAGUCUGAUAAUUGUAAUGGAGGUAAUAUACAUUUUGCAGCCCCAGUAAUGGACAUGUGACUUUGGCCAACAAAAUGAACAUACGAAGCACAAAACCAGAAACAAAAUCUUUCAUUGUCACCUGUCAGCACCGGUAAAAGCAUCACGCACCUGCAAACUUCAAACAUCUCACUUGACUGAGUCCAAACUCCAAAUCUUUGCAUGGAAAGUAGAAUUGGAUAACAAAAAUGUUCACAGCAUACAAAUAAGAGGGCGCAUGAAGCUAUUGCUUCAAUUUUGCUGCUGAAGAGCGCCCCACUAUUUUCGGAAUCCUCACUGCAACUGCAACUACCACAAUUUCCUUGAAGUGAUUCACAGUAUGAAUUCAUCUCCCAAAGUUUUCCGUCAAAAUUUGAUUCAUUAAGUCGAUGAAUGUAAGUGUCCCCAACGUAGUCCCAAAUUUGCUGCGUUCUUAAAUCUAGAGAAUAGCAAUAUUGUGUAUUUUUCCAACGGCUGAUCGCGUGCUUAUCUUUGCAUCUACAAACCCAAAAAGGAAAAGCUGUAACAAGACAGCCUACCAAACACUAAAAUAUAGACCGAUCAUCAUACACCUUCCACAUCUUCCAAAACCACAUAUCAGACAAACCCAAAGAUAGAGCAAAUUGAGAUGGAGCAGAACGAAAAUAUUCUUCAGGGUUAGUUCACAGAUGGGCAUCCCUGAUGAUGUUGCAAUAUGGAGCCACAUAUGCGAUAAUGUUUAAUUCUCGCAAUCUAAUCAAGUAUGUGCCAUACUUAAAAUCUAUAGCAAUGUAAUUGAACCUUGCAAUAAAAUCAAAGGAAGACCCUUGGCACAUCACUAGCAUUGGAGAAUAUCAUAUUGACUUAUUUUAAACAUAAAGAUUGACGAAUCAAGGAAAGGUAAGUAAGCAUAUGUCCAUUGAUGGAUAAUCCUAUGUGACACUUUUUCAUCUUUUGAUAUAUACUCGAGUUCAAAGUUACUUCUUUGCUACAAAUUUACAUGGAUGGAGCAUUAUCACAAUCAGUGGAAUAUAACUUGAAAUGUGAAAAAUGACCAAGCGCCAUCUUAUCUAACAGCUAGAAGUUUGAGAUCAAAGAUCAGCACUUUGACAUCAUUAUGAUCACCUAUGUCAACAAUGAAUACUUAAGUUCAACACAUAAACUCAAUAAUUUAUGAUUUGCCAGUGCUAUUGCGAUCACCCUUGGAUUCACAAUAAAUUGGACACAAUGGUGAUAGGACCAUUAGAUCAAAUAACCAUAAUGAGACACUGCAGUUAUUCUCAUGUCAAGGUAUAAGAAACAUCAAAAAAUAAGUCCAAAAAGCCACACCAUGGACCUAUUCCAAACAUUAGAAAAUGUCAUAAUCAUUUAAAGUGUUGAUAAAACCUCCAUAUAUAUUUUAAAAUUAACAAAACUAUCCAUGUUUGUAUUGAUCUUGGUAAUCGCAAAAAAGGCAUUUGUGUUUUAGGUACUAUCUAUGUCGAAAGGAUUUUUCUUGUCUAAUAAGAAUUAUUAGACAAAGAAUGAAGAGUUGUGGACCUAAGCAGGUCCUUAAAAGGCUCAAGGAGGAAACAAGCGAGAUAACCGCCCUGAGAUGGGAGUUUCUGCACUGUCCUCCGUAUUCCCUCUUUGUCAGGAAGACAAAGAUAGACAAGGAAUUUCGGGGUCUCUCGGUGGGAAAGGUAGACUCCACGUCAGAGCUUGCUUUGGCUACCGCCGGGUAGAGUGGUAUAAUAGCCACCCGUGCUUGGGGUGAGGGAGGGUGGGUGAAAUGCCCACUGCUGUGUUAGCACGCCUUAUGGCACAGUUCCUAACCACCGGCUAACACAGUACCCCGGUAUAUGUGUGAUAUUAGCAAGUGACCUACAUUGAUGCCAGCAAGUCAAAGGCUAGACAUCAACAAGGCAACAUGCUAGAUAUCAGCAAAGUCCCACAAAAGCUAAGUAUAAGCAUGAAAUUGAUUUACAAGAUUAUUCUUUGAGACAUUUUAUCUCAUUUUUAACAACUUGUGAUUAGGUAUGGAUUGCCUCUUAAGGAAACAUUGAUUGUCUAUCUCAUAGAUUGUCUUAGCAAAAGACUCAAUCCUGUAAGAUAUUUUGAUUGAUUGGCAAUCAUCUUCAAAGGCAAGUUUCUUUCCAUAGUAGAAGCAUUCUAUUUUUUAUAACCAAGGUUUAAUUGUAUGGGCGACCAAAUGAAAAAGCCACAUUUCAUAUUCUUCCCUAAAAUAUAUUUUGUUUUAUCUUUCAUAAUAUAAUCAUCAUUACUAUAUGCAUCUUCUUGUUUAUUUCUCAUAACAAAACGCAUAACCAAUACACUAUCGUCCUUAUGAACUACAUUGUCUACCACAUUAACAUGUCUUAUCUUAUUUUUUAUUUAUUACUAUUAUUAUUAUUAUUUUGUAAAUUGAGGUAUUGCAUUAAACAUCUUAACAAACUUUAUUCUAUUUAGGAAACAAAAAGUAACCAUUUGGUUAAGAUAUAUAUUUAUGACAAUGUAAUUGGUCAAGGUUGUGACAUUGUUGUAUAGUCAGUUCAUACUGUCCAAUCACUAAUGACAGCGACCUAUAACGAGUAUUGCUUAUUAAUUUUCUUUUCUAUAUUUUGUUAUUGAUUAAAUAUGCAAGUCUAGUCAGGUGUGCUGGAUCUCAACUUUCAAUAAAAGCUUCAUGUGCACUUGCUCAAAGAUUUAGAUUUAUGGAUUUUAUUGAUCACAUGUUGUUGGACAAUGUCAAUUACAAAAUUUGGAUUAUUUAAGGUUUGUGCCGAGAUGGUGUGGCAUUAACAUAUAUUCCCAAAUGUGAAACCAAGAUGUCAAAAACUCGGGAAGGGCCAGGAGUUUGUGAAAGGAAAAAGAAGGGACCAAAAUUAUCUUGUUUAGGUCGUGAGAUGGAUUUAACGUAAUGUAUAACUCAAUUAGUUGUUGUGUAAAUAAGAUCGUCAUAAUCAUCCAAUUUGCCCAAACAAGGACAAACAAAUCUUAUCAUAUUUACCAUCAAUCGAUUUUUAAUUAUCUUGACAAUCUAAUAUCUAUAUAGUAGAUUCUUCAGAAUUGUUACUAUAUUAAAUGUGCUAAUAUGCUUGUAACUCCAUUCAAACUAGGAUAUGGAGCCUAAUCCGAGUCCCAUCUUUAGUAAAAUUUUCAUGUCUAAUUUUCAAAGGCCAUUAAACAGCAGAAAAGAAGUGGCUCUGCGUAGAGGGUUUGUAUUCUGGUUUUCUAAUAAAUUAGGUAUCUAUUUCAAAAUUAUAUGCCAAAGAGCAUAUCAUUAUCAUUAAAUGCUGCCGUAAUCUACUUUAUUUAUUUAUUUACUAAAAUUAGUUGGUGGAGAAUACGCACCUCCCGCAUAAUGCCGCGUAAAUAAUAAUCCAAGGAGUAAUGUUUUUGUGAUUGACUCGUGUGUAUUUGCACCGGAAUCAUGGGAUUAUUGCUAUGCUGGUUAGUUUUCUUUUCUAUUUCUCGUAUUAACAGAACAGCAAAGUCAAGUCAACAACCACGAGCAUAGGAUUCUUCCACGCACCUCCUGCAAACAGCUGUGGAAAUUACGCGUGCAUUGAUUGACCUGUGGAAAUUGGCUUUGGUGAGAAUUGAUGGUUGGUCUUCAUUUCUAUUUCUUUAUUAGUAGAAAAAACAAGUCAAGUCAAAAAGCGUAGGAAGGUCCCCGCGCCUGCUGCAAAAUGUAGUGGAAAUUACGCGGGCAAUAGUUGCCCAACAGUUGUCUUUUCUAUUUCUCUUAUUGAUACAAAAGGCAAGGCAAGUCGAGUCAAGGUCCUCGCUUUGGAUAAAUAAAAUGUUUAGAAAUAAAAUAUCAUUAACAUUAUAAAUAUUUGUCAUUAAAUUAAUUAUUUUAAUUAAUAUAAAUAAUCAUUCUAAAGGAUAUAAUGAAAUUAUUUUUUAUUAAUUAAUUAUUUUAAAUGAUACAAGUAAACAUAAUAUUUAUCGUUUCAAGAAUUUACUUGUAUUUCUCUAAAAAAUUAAUCAAUAAAAAAUAUUUUCAUUAUCAAUGAUAAUUUAUGUUUAAAUAUUUUCAUAAACAAUUCAUUUAUUUAUUUUAGUAAGUAAUAUAAAUGAUUAUUUUUAAAAAAUAUUUUUUGAAUUAUUUAUAUUUUAUGGAACAAACGCACGCUAAAAGCUCCAAACAAAUGUUAAACUGAUGUGAUGAAGUAUUAAGGUGCCCUAUCAAGGGCCCCAAACGUUAAAUCCUCGAAGUUGCCAUACAGCUUGUACCUAUCAAAGAAACUCAAAAAAAUCUACCCACACUGAUAUGAACAAGACAAACUGGUGGACUAGAGAGAGCCUUGUAAGAUGAACCAAAGAUAAGGAUGGAAUCUUGAACACCCAAUGAAACAAGAGAUACAGAUAUCACAAGAUAAAGCUCAAAAUUCAUUUAUAAUACAUUUUGUGGUGUGUUUAGGCCAUAGACCGAUCAUAUCUUUCAUUCUCAUUGGAUGCGUAGGAAUCCAAUAUCCUAAUAUAUAAUAUAGGUGCGUUUCAAAGGUUGUGGUCUCCGAAUAUGCAAACAUUUUUUUUUUGCUAAUAAGGUGCUAAUUUGUCUUUACCUUAGUGUGAGUGGAAAUCCAUCACUGACCUCACCAGUAUUUUCCAUGAUCUAAUUUCAAAUAGUAGAAGAUUAAUGUGCCAGUUGAGCCUAGAAAUCCUUGCCCAAGAUCGAUCAUGAUUAAAGAAUAGGAAAAUACUACCAACCCCGGGUCUAUAAGGAGAGAAUUUAUCUUUUGUUUUUUCAUUUAUCUUUUUUAGUUUUUGCCGCACUCUUAGUUAAAUAUUCCUUAAUCUUAUGCAAUUAAAAUAGUUGCGCUCACAUUAAGGACCCAAUUGCACUAUCACUUGAAUUAUUUUCCUAAAAUUAACUAUUUAUAUCAUUUAAAAUAAUUAGCUAAUAAAAAUAUUUUAAUUAUCAAUGAUAAUUUAUAUUUAUAUAUUUUGUAUUUUUUAAAAAGCAAGCAAGACUUUGACUUGACUUGUCGUGCCUUUUCUAUGAACAAGAGAAAUAGAAAAGAAAAUCAAAGGGCAAUUAUUGUCCGCGUAAUUUCCAUUGCAUUUUGCAGAAAGUACCGGGGACCAUCCUCUGCUUCUGGAAUUGAUGUACUUUAUCUACUGAUAAAGGAAAUAGAAAUGAAAACGAACGAGCAAUUCUCCACCAUCUAAUUUCCACAGGGCAAUCAAAUGCACGCGUAAUUUUCACAGCAGUUUGCAGAAGGUGCGUGGAACCAUCCUGUGCUGGUGCUUCUUGACUUCACUAUGCAUUUCUCCGUUAAUAAGAAAGAUAGAAAAGAAAACUAACCAGCAUAGCAAAGCUCCCGUGCUCUCGGCGGUAAUUUAAACGAGUUAAUAAAAACAAAUCACUUGUCGGAUUAUUAUUUCCGUGGUAUUAUGCGGAAGGUACGUACUCUCCGCCAACUAAUUUUAAUAAAUAAAUAAAAAGAAAAUAGAUUGCAAUGGCAUUUAAUGAUGAUGAUAGGGUGCACUGGAAAGGAAAGUCAGAAAUUUUUUCCUUUUUUCUUUUACCAAUCUUUCUUUCAUCUAAAUAAAUUACUAACUCAUUCAUAUAUAUAUUUAGAUGAUGAAGAAACCUUCCGAUUUCCAUUAUUCAUAUUCGGUUCAUUUCCUUUAGAUAUUUUGCCUCCCAAGCAAGUAAAUAUCCAGGAGCUCACUAAUUCCAUCAAUUCUUGCUACACUUCUCGAUCCUCAAAAGAGUCUGAACCAAUGUUUAUCAUUUGUCUAGAAGUUUGAUCCUCAAAAGAGUCUGGACCAAUAUUUAUCAUUUGUCUAGACAACUUAUAUAACAGACAAACUGUUCUCCUCCUAGAUAUCUAGGAUUUCUAAUUUUUUCUUUUCUUUUCCUCGGGGAGGGAUUCACCCAUCGGCCAUGCCCACCAAUUAUUAGAAGCAUCAUUAGGAAAAAAAUAAAUGCGCCCUACUAUGCGACAAAGUUACAUUCCAUAUUCUUCCUUAAAAUAUAUUUUGUUUUAUCUUUCACAAUAUAAUUAUUAUUAAUCCAUUGUUUGUUUUUUUUUUGUAACUAAACACAUAACCGGUACGAUGUCGUUCUCAUAAACUACAAUGUCCAUCAUAUCAUAAUGUCUUGUUAUGUUUUUCUGUUUUUUUAUUUUUAUUUUCGUUUGUAAAUUGAGGUAGUGUAUUGAACAUCAUUUAGUUAUGGUGAUAUAGUUUAAUAGUGUGAUUGGUCAAGGUCCUGAUAUCAUUGUAUAGUUAGUUCGUACUAUUCAAAUGCUAACGAUAGAGACCUGUAACGAGUAGUGCUCGUUAUUUUUUUUUAUAUAUUUUGUUAUUGAUGAAAAAUGCAAGUCCAAUCAAGUGAGCUGGAUCUCAAAUUUCCAUCAGAGCAUCACUUGCACUUGCUCAAAGCUUCAAGUCUAUGGAUUUCAUUGUUUGCACGUUGUUGUAGGAUGUCAAUCGGAAAGUCCGGAUUAAUUAAGGUUUUUAAAGAGAUGGUUCGGCGUUAACAUGUAUUCCCAAAUAUGAACCCAAGAUUCCGCGAACUUGGGUGGGGCCAACUACAAUGUCUUGUGAGUUUGUGAAAAGGAAAAAGAACAUUUUUGAUCAAAAUCAUCUUGUUUAUGUCAUGAAAUGGAUUUAACAUAAUGUAGUAAAUCAAUUAGUUAUUAAUCGUGCUAACAAGAUUGUCAUAAUUUUGUCCAACUUGCCCAAGCAAGGACAAACAAAUUUUCCCGUAUUUACUAUCACUUCAUUUUUAAUUGUCUAGAUAAUAAAAAAGCCAUAAAUUGUAGAUUCUUCACAAUUUUUACUAGAUUAAAUGUGCUAACAUGCUUGUAGCUCCAUCCGAACUCGAACAUAGAGUUUCACCCGAUUCCUCUCUUUAGUAAAAUUUCCACAUCUAAUAUUCAAUCGGCAUUAAACAGUAGGAACGAAGUAGUUAUAUGCACAAAUUUGAUAGUUGUAUUACGAUUUUAUGAUAAAAUAGGUAUAUUCUUCAAAACUAUAUGCCAAUAUGCAUAUCAUCAUCAUUAAACACUACAGCAAUUUACUUUUUUUAACUUUAUUAAAAUUAGUUGGCGGAGAAUACGCACCUUCCACGUGAUGCCGUGAAAAUAAUGAUGCAAUGAGUGAUGUUUUUGUGCUCAUGUAUAGUGGCACCGGCGGCAUGGGAGCAUUCCUAUGCUGGUUAGUUUUCUUUUCUAUUUCUCUUAUUAGUUGGAAAAAAAAGGCAAAGCAAGUGAAGAAGCACCAGUAUUGCAUGGUUCCACGCACUUUCUGCAUAACUGCUGUGGAAAUCACGCGUGCAUUGAUUGCCUUGUGGAAAUUAGAUCGUGGAGAAUUAAUCGUUGGUUUUCAUUUCUAUUUCUUUUAUUAGCAGAAAAAGCAAGUCAAGUCAAGAAGCAGAGGAUGGUCCCUGACACCAUCUGCAAAACGCAGUAGAAAUUACGCGGGCAAUGGUUGCCCUUUGGUUUUCUUUCCUAUUUAUCUUAUUGAUAGUAAAGGCAAGGUAGGUCAAGUAAAAUGUUGACAAUUAGUGGAGGUCACAGCGGCAGGUGAGCAGUCAUAAGCGUCAGGGGGGAAUUAUCCAUCGAGCACGCCCACUAAUUACUAGAAGCACCGUUAGAAAAAAAAGAUACACACUUUACGAUGUGAAGAAGGAAUUGCAUUUCAUUUUCUUUCCCAAAACUUUAAUUUGUUUUAUCAUUGCUAUUUAACCUUUGUUUCGUGCAUACACUUAUUUAUUUCUUAUAUAAGGAUACAUGUAAUUGGUAAAAAUGUCAUCCUCGAGAACUACAAUGUCCACUAUAUUACCAUGUCUCAUUUUUCUUUUUCCAUUUGUACUUUGAGGUGGUAAAUUAAAAAUGUUAACAAAAACAAAUUCUACUCAGGAGUCAAGUCAAGUGUGAUGAAUCUCAAAUUUCGAUCAAAACGUCACACAUUUGGUAGAAAUUUCAAAAUCUAUGGAUUUCAUUAUUUACAUGUUAUGGUAGUAUGUCAAUCGGAAGGUUUGAAUUAUUUAAGAUUUACACAAAAAUAAAUCUAACAUAAGGCGACAACUCAAUUAGUUCUUAAUUAUGCAAAUGUCGUGAUUGUCCAACUUGCCCAAGUAAUAACAAACAAACCUACCCAUAUAUACUAUCAAAUCGUUUUUUUUAAUUUUCUCGAUAAUCUAAUAAUCAUUGGGAUAUAGGGUCUCAUCCGGUUCUUGUAUUUCGUAUGAUGUCUACAUCGUUUCUUCAAUUGACCGUAAACAAUGAUGAAGCGACUCUACACACAUGAAUUUGGUGGUCGUCUUCUGCUUUUCUGAUAAAAUGGGUCCCCCCUUCAUAACUAUACGUCAAUAUGACAUGAUGCUUCCUAUAAAGAAAGAGGGAGGGAGAGAGAGAGAGAGAGCGCAUUAUCGCAAUCUGCACAAUCGGAAUUGAUUGUUGCUUUUCGGUUCUAUUUCUUUAUUCAUAAAAAAAAGUAAGUCAAGUCAAAAAGCACACGUACCUUCGCAUAAUGCUGGUGUGCAAUAAUUAUCCUGUCCGUAGCAUGCGAGACAGAGCAUUAUUGCAAUCUACACAAUCGGAAUUGAUUGUUGCUUUUCGAUGCUAUUUCUUUAUUCACAAAAAAAAAAAGCGAGUCGUACCUUCGCAUAAUGCUGGUGUGCAAUAAUUAUCCUGUCCGCAGCACGAGAGAGAGAGAGCAUUAUCGCAAUCUACGCGAUCGGAAUUGAUUGUUGCUUUCCGAUGCUAUUUCUUUAUUCACAAAAAAAAAAAAGAGAGUCGAGUCAAAAGGUACACGUACCUUUGCAUAAUGCUGGUGUGCAAUAAUUAUCCUGUCCGCAGCACGUGACUUGAGUUGUUGGAUGGCAAGUCAGCAUUAUGUGCUCUUUUGGACGAAUCUCCUUUGAAAUAAAAAGAAGAAGAGCAGAUUUUGGAUUGAAAAUAAUGAAUUGUCCUUAUUCGAAUAUCUAAACAAAGUGUCCUACUGACAUUUAUGUUAUAAUAUGUUUUUGUGAUUGACUCAUGUAUAUUAGUAUUGACAGCAUGGGAGUCUUGCUGGUUAGUUUUCUUUUCUUUUUCUUUUAUUAAUAAUAGUUAAAAAAGCAAGUCAAGUCAAAAAACACUUGCAUAGAAUGGCCCCACGCACCUCUAGGUUCCCGUACCUACCGCGUAAUGCCGGGGGUAUUAUCAAACAGCAUUUUCUUUCAUUUUAAGUACUUAAAAUAGUCUGAAAUUCAGUACUAAAAAAUUUCAGUAAUUAUUUACCAGUUUUAUCUAAACGGGCAUGUACUCGCAGCUUAUUUUUCACAAAUGAAUUAAGUUCAGCAUUGGCUGAAAAAAAAAAACAAGUUGAUGCAAGUUGAAAAUCGAGUUCUAUCGCAUAAGGUUCGACUUGAAAUUACCAAUGCAAUCAUUUACUUUAAGCCAUCAGAGUACAAUGCUUAAUAUAUUUUAGAUCUUAACAGCUUAUUUGGUUUGAUUUCUAGCUUUUUCUUGACAACAAAGCAUAGAUGAAGUAUGUUAAUCCGCAUAUCAACAAAUUCUCCACUAAUGCAAAAUAUCAGCAAGACACAAGUCUCCAAAUACGAAAGAAUUUAUGCUUACAAAUAUGAUGAAUCAACACAAAUUGCGUACUUAGGCUCCAUAUACUAAUUUUUACUUUCUAUUCUCUCGCACCUCUCGUAGUCGAACUUUUGCUUAACAAAAAUUAUUUAAAUGAUUCAAAAUAUGUAGAUACUCUCACGUAGAAAAUUAUACAAUUAUGUUUGUAAUUUAACUUGAAGAAUGUACAUAUUUAAAAUUUUUCAAAUGUAGAACAUCAAUUAUAUUUUUAAGUGCAGCCCAAAUUUUUAUCAAAGGGCCGCAUACCAAAAUUUUCUUUUAUUCUGAAAGAGGUAAUGCACCUGAUUAGUCAUUAGAGAAAAAGGCCAAAGCAUGGAGCCGCCUCAGUUAGCGCUGUCGUCGAGCGUUGCAUAUUCCCCAUCUCCUUUUUCAGAAGCCAAAAGAAAUCGCCCCGAACGUCAAACCCGCCCACUCGCCUCGGUCAGGGAGAGCACGUGAACUCGCUCGGACCGCGCGCCACGUGAGCUCGAGGGGGCAAUUCGGUACAUUCCGAGUGGCCGAAGAUAUUCCUGAGAUGCGAGGUGGGGACCACGCGUUGGCUUCGGUUUCUGAGCAGCUGACCGUCGUAGCGGUCGAGCAACGCGGAGAGGAGGAGCGGCGUGGGUCCGUGUGAAGAGACAACCUAAGCAGAAUCCACGAGGUAAAUUUCUACUCAUUUUUCGUGGAUACAAGUCUUCGUCUAGUUGCUUUAGGGUUUCCACCAUUACUUAAGGCCUCAGCUUGCAUAGCAGAGUUUAUUCUUACCGAUCUAGCAAAUUCAUCCAUCAAAUUUCCAUAAUUGUUUCGGCAAACACAACUUAUUGCUCCGAUCGUCAUUCCGGGCAAAAAAGUUCUAUUUAUAUUGAUUUUGAGGGUGUCUUCGCUUGGGCCAAACUAGAUCUGAGGUGAGGCUUCUUCGCCUUUUCCCAACUGUUGAAGCACUAAUUUUUCGCCAUGGUUGAGCUUAUAAGGUGCUUCGGAUUUGGCUUUAGUUUGCGGAAAACAAAGUAAUUUCUUUCUUUCCAAAUACGCCAGAGGAUAGAUGCAAGGAGGUCGAAACAUGCAGAGGAUGAUUGAAUUUAAGUAACCAUUCAUCUAUUCGACCAAGUCUAUAAGGUGAGAUCUUAAUUUGUAGUGCAGGAUCCAUCCAAAUUUGAUUCGUGCAAGGGCAAAGUAAGAAGAGGUGCUCUACCGUUUCUGGGUUCUGUUUACAUAAAUCGCAGGUACUUUCUUCCACUAUACCUCUCUUUUGUCGAUUUUCUUUUGUCGGCAAUGCGUUUUGACAUAGUCCCCAUAAGAAAAAUUUGAUUUUCGGGCUUGUCUUAGCCUUCCAGAUCUUUAUCCAAAGAGAUCUAGGGAUUUGGUGAGAGGUAGAGGCUGUGGUGUUAUUGUUCUAUUCUUCCUUCUCUUUGAUUCUAUUAUACCCACUUUUAAGAGUAUAGUCUUGUGCUUUUGUUUGUCCAGCAUAAUUUAUCCUCCUUUGCCUGGGAAUCAAUGGGAUUGUUAGAAUUUCAUUAGCUGUGUGCUCAUCGAACAAGGUCCCAAUAAAUUGUCCAUUCCAAGCUGGGAUAUCUCUGUGAAUAAGCUGGUUCAUCCCUGUUUGCGGGUCUUCCUAUAACUCCUUUGGGAAGCCAUUUUGUCUCUCUGAUAUUAAUCUUUUCCCCAUUCCCUGCUAUCCAUUUUACUGAAGGAAGAAUCUCGUCUUUGCUCAUUAGAAGAUUUUGCCAGAACCAUGAAAGUCGAUACCCCUUUGCAGUUGACCAAAAUUCAGAAUGAGGGAAUUAUAGACUUUUAGUAAUUGGCACCACAGUGAUGAAGGAUUUUGCAUCAUACGCCAUGCUUGUUUACCGAGCAUGGCUUUGUUGAAGGCAAUUAAAUUUCGAAAUCCCAAACCUCCAUUGUCUUUCCUAUGCUUAAGAAUGUGCCACUUCUUCUAGUGUAUUCCAGAUUUUUGUUCAGCAGUAUUCCAUAAAAGGGUCUCGAACGGUUGGACGGCAAUAACUCAGCAUCGUUCAAGCAAGCACGGGAGAGUGUUGAGCGUAGUUUAUCCAAGGUUGAAGGCUGAGAACCGGCAGAGAUCACAGUAGUAGGUGAAUUGUGUUGUUUGAGCACCCUUCAGGUAAUCGAUUGCUCCAUUUUCUUUUGAUGAGUUUCGAUUUGAGUUCUUGGAGACAUUUUUGCAUUCCGAGAUCUGGACUGUGAAAUCUAGACUUUUUUUCUUCAAGGCUCUGCUCGAUCGAUGUCCUAUUCGGUCAAUUAGACUUCAUUUCUGUUUGAAUUUAGCUACGAAAUGAGCUGUGACAGACAUUUCAGCAAUUCCCGAAUCUGGGAUUCCGUAUUUCUCUUUGCUUUCUGCUUUUCUUCGGGGCUGUGCUCCAUCAAUCUCUUCCAUUCCCUUUAUAGGUGAUUACAAAGGCGGAGCCUAAAAGAUUCGAUAUGUGGGGACAUUCAGAAGAUCCGAAUUGCGGGGCUUCUUCCUCAUCGACUUCUCCAACUGUAGGUGAUUAUGAAGGCAGAACCAAAAAGACGAAAAGAAACGACUACGAAGUGUUCUUGAGCUUUAGAGGGAAGGAUACUCGCAAUGGCUUCACCGAUUAUCUCUAUACUAGUCUUGUUGAUGCAGGAAUUCAUGUGUUCAGAGACGACAAUGAGCUUUGUGUUGGUGAGGUGAUUGGACCGGAACUUUUUCGCAGUAUUACACAAUCUAAGAUCUCCAUCCCGAUUAUCUCAGAGGACUAUGCAUCCAGCAAAUGGUGCCUUCGCGAGUUGGCUCUUAUGUUGAAUUGCAAGAGAAACAAAGGGCAAAUGGUGUUACCCAUAUUUUACAAAGUGGAACCUUGGCAAGUGAAGCAUCUCACAGGGAGAUUUGGAGAUGCUAUCGAUACACAUAAAAAGAAUUUGGAAGAAAAGAUUGUGAAGGAAUGGGAAGAAGCACUCAAAGAAGUCACUUCCUUGAAAGGAUUGGAAUCGGAGAAAAUUGAUAAUGGGUACAUUAUUCACCACCACAACAUUGUUUACUUUCUCAUAACUAGAUCUUACUUGAAAAAUAAUACAAAUAUUUCCAUUUUAUUGAAAUUUUUAUUGUUGUUCGACAGGCGUGAAGGAACAUUGGUUAAAAUAGUUGUCAGAAAAGUUAUGAGUAACUUAAAGGAAUUGUUUUUGCUAAAUGUUCCCAAACAGUUGGUGGGAAUUGAUGAUCAUGUGGAGCAUAUUAUGUGCUUCAUAAAUGCUAAAUUUAGUGAUACAAGUGUUAUUGGAAUCUAUGGAAUGGGCGGCAUCGGUAAGACAACCCUUGCGAAGGUGUUGUACAACAAGCUUUUGAGUCAUUAUGAGUCUCAUAGCUUUGUGGCAGAUAUCCGAGAAAAAAUAAAGCUCAAGGGUUUUGAAUGCAUACAAAAGCAGCUCAUUUAUGACAUAAGUGGAGGCUUACGUGAUGUGUCUAAUGUCGAUCACGGAAUCAAUAUCCUUAAAUCUCGAUGUAUAAAUAAGAAAGUACUCAUUCUUCUUGAUGACAUGGAUGAUAAUACUCCCUUGAAUGCUUUGGUCGAAGACGGUAGUUGGUUUAAAGCUGGAAGCAUGGUCAUCAUCACCACUAGAGAUAAGAGUAUUCUUGACAAGGUUGGGGUAAGAUACAAGUAUCAACUCAACGAGUUGCUUUCAGAUCAAUCAUUGGUUUUAUUUAGCAGACAUGCAUUUCGAACGGAUUCUCCUCCAAGUGAUUAUUGGGUUAUCUCUCGUGAUAUUGUAUCUACUACUGGGGGGCUUCCUUUAGCUCUUGAAGUUAUUGGUUCAUUCUUAUGUGGAAAGACAAAAGAAGUAUGGAAAGCUACAUCAAAAAAAUUAGAGAAAGUGCCUAAUAAGAAAGUGCAAGAGAAGUUGAGAAUAAGUUACGACGCAUUAGAGUAUGAGGAGCAACAGAUUUUUUUGGAUAUAGCAUGUAUUUUUAGUGGACUUUGUACAGAAGAUCUGACUUAUAUGUGGGAUGCGUGUGGUUUUUUUCCGGAGAAGGGGAUUGAAGUAUUGAGUCUUAUGUCCCUAAUUAAAAUUGAUGGAGAUGGCAUUCUAAUGAUGCAUGAUCAGCUGAGAGAUUUUGGAAGGGAAAUUGUUCGCCAAGAGAAUCAAAGGGAACCUCAAAACCGUAGCAGAUUAUGGAAUACUAAGGAAGCCGCAGAUGUGAUUUACAAUAACAAGGUAAGAUUUUAUCUACAUCUCUCAGUUAGUGAAUGUGAGCCCAUCUUCUCUUUUAUGUUUUGAGAUAAAAAAUUAUUGGCAAUCUGGAGCCCCUAAAACUUCUUCUACUAGCAAAAGAGCUCUUCCGGUUAAUUGCUUAUGUUGUUUUUGCCUGACUCUUUUGAACAUAAUUGAGGACCAAUUUCUUGGUUGUUGAUGAAUUAUAUAUACCUCUAUCUCGUAGUAUUGUGAUGAGGACCCUCUCCUUUGUAACUUCAAUGCAACUAAAAAAUUACAAAAGCAUAAUAUUUGACAGAGCAUUUUCAAAGAAAAGCUGAUUUUCUAUAAAUUGUUGGCGGCCAUGCUUUUCCCACGUACAUGUUUAAUGCACAUCCAUGAUGUUUGGAUUUUUUCUUUGAUUUCUUGUGAGGUCUUUGCAUCCUUUUUAUCUUUUACUGAGUAUUGAGUUUCUUAUGGGUUGUUUGCUAUGAUAAAUGAGACUUCCAUUCAUUUAUGGUGACUAGCUAUCUUAGUCCCGUAUUUUUUAGAAUUGGGUUAAGUAUAGUUUUCGUCUCCUAGAUAUUACUAUUUAUGUGAUUUAGUCCCCUAUCUAUUUUUUUUUAUUAUAAAUAUUAUAGUCUUUUGUCUUUCGCAAUUUAUGUAAUCAUGUUCUUUGUCUUCAACCAUUAGUCACCACCAUGAUAUGACUUUCAUAUUUAUUUAAGAUAUAUGCGCAACCUUGCAAUGUAACCCUCUAAACAAAUAUUAUUUUCGUUCCAUAGACUUUCUAUAACAGUGCAUAUAUUUUUUCUAUGAAUUUGCUACUAUUAUAUUUUAAUUUUCUGACAAUGUAUAAUAUUUCUAUUAAUCCCCUAAUAACAUUUAUUUGUCAAAUAUUCACUAUCAUCCCCUAAUAAUCACUUCUUCAUAGCUCAACUCUUGGUGAGCAUCUUAUUUAACAAAAAGAUUUACUUAAUUUUAUAUCAUCAUUUGUUAAAUAUGGGCUAGCAUGUGACUUAAUUCUUGUAUCGAUUUUUUAUUUACCAAAUAUUGACUGCCACAGUAUAAUAAAUAUUUCUACAUCGUUCAACUCUUAGCAAGCAGUUAAUUUAGCACAUAUUUAAUACAUUUCUAUCAUUUAAUUGUUAAAUGUGAGCUGUCAUGUUAUAAUUUUUUUUUGGACGUUAUUAUAAUUUACUUAUAAAAUAUGACAAAAUAUUUUCUUCUUUUUUGGUAAGGAUAUGACAAAAUAUUUUCUCAUAAUGAGUAUUGCUAAAACUUUUAAUCAUAACAGCCAUCACUUAUUAUACAUCUCGUUAUACUUAUUAUUGAAGUUUAUGUUGUCAUGUAAUAAAGUCCUCUUAACAUAUAUUAUUUUUUCUUCUAUGAUGGACAAUUUUAUUAAUUCAUCUACCUGUAAAGCAUGUUUAUUUUUUUAUUGGUGAUGAUGGUUACUUUUUUAGUCAUAAUGGGACACCUUUGCAAUCACAAUAGUUGUCACUAGUAACAUUUGAAAAUAGUUUUAGAUGGAAGUAAUAGAGCCAUAAGUUUCUGCUGCGCACUCUAGUCUCAGUAUCUCGAUUUUCUCUAUUAGUCUUAAACUUGACCAAUCUGCAAAAAUUAAAGGUGGUCAGCGACUUACACUCAUCCAUCAUAUACGAAUGAAAUGCUAUAUCGCUCUGAUCCAUUUCUCUCUAGCUCUUCCCAUUUCAUGUGUCUUGAUUGGUUUAAGGAAUGAGUUGGAUACAUGUCAAAUGAUUGAUGAAAUAAUUGGUAACUAAGCAAAAGCACCCCGCAAACAUACUCAUGCAACUCACCAUCUCACAUUCUUCUUUUGAUCAAUGCAUAUUUUUUCUUUUUUCUCUUUUUUAAAAGCUCAUCCACAAAGGUAGUCUAUUCAUAUUGAGUUAAUUACGUAUUCACAUUCUACUUAAUCCUCCAAAAUACGAGAAAUUACAUUACAGUAGACUUCUACUGCUAUUACGAUCUUCGACACUUGAUAAAUAGAGAAUCUAAAUAAUAUUUUCUUGCAUUUAUAAAGAGGACACUAUACAAAGAAGUUAUCACCAAAAAAGAAAAACAGAAGAAGAAGAAGAAGCAAGAGAUGUUGCAUAAAGAAGUAUGUGUUAUUAAGAAAUAAAAAUAAGGAAGUGGAAAGACAAAUGGAAGUAACGAAGGAAUGUUAAUAAAUAGUUAAAUUAUUUGUCGAAAGGGACGAUCUGGAAGUUCUUUCAAUUUUAGGAAUAAAUGUGAGAAGGUCAUUCCUGGCGGAUGCGAAAUGGAAAACAUUCUAUAUUUUACCAAUAAAGAUUACACAUGAGUCGCAUGUGAAUAGAGGCAUUUCUCCUUUGUUUUAGGUUGCUAGAGGAUUGUUGAGUUAUGACUAAUGACAUAGCUCCAAGGAUUUCUGAUAUGAAUUUCAUCUUUAGCAAAAAAAGGAAAUUGUGUAGCAGAAUUUUAGUGUACGCGUGAAGUUGAGUUUCAAUAUGGUUGGAGAUACUUGUUCAAAAAAUUCUAAACCUAAUAUAACGGCUAAUUCAUUUUCAAACUUUUAAAUACGAUUAAGGCCACUAUUUUUUUCCUCAAUGCAAUCCUUUAUCUUUCACAAUUUGGGCAAUCGAGCCCUUUGUUGUCAAGUGUUAGUUAACACCGUCAAUUUGCCAUGUGGCUUUUAAAAUUAUUUAUGAUGUGUAAAUAUUAUUUUCGUCCUAUAGGCUUUUCGUGGUGGUAGUUUGUCACAUUAUUUUCGUCCUGUAGACUUUUCGUGGUAGUAAUUCGCUUGUGACAAUGGAUAAUUUUUCUAUUAAUCCCAUUUCUUUGGCAAAUAUAUGCUGGCAUGAUUUAGUUGAUGAUUAUAUCAUUAUUUGUUAAAUAUGUACUAUCGUGGUGAAUAAGUUUUUUAUCCAUUUUUGGGAAAAUUAUCUAGAGAGUCUUAAACUUAUUGUAUUUUUACCAAUUCAGUUAUAAACUUUUCAAUUUUGUCAAUUCAGUUCUAAACCUUUUCACUUCUUGCUAAUUAAGCCUGUCUAGUUAAUUUUGGCUGAAAAUUGCUAACGUGGCCGGUUGGUGCUAAUAUUUUUUUUUUGUUACUUUUUUUUCUUGGUUUGUAGUUAGGGCCGGUAAGGGUUACUGGCCAACCCUUGCCGGCUUGAUUGAUCCUCGUUGGCCCUGGGGGAGGGCUGUGACGCCCUCAUCGACAAAAGCGAGGGCUCAAGCCCUCACUGGAUUUGGCCAAGCAAGGGUGGUGACCUUGCUCGGGUGCUUGGGGCCCUCGCCUGGCCAAAUCUAGCAAGGGCAUCGCGGCCCUCGCCCACGGCUGACGAGGGUCGGCCGGUAACUGUCACUGGCCCUAACACCAAACCCAAAAUUAAAGAAGAGAAAAGUUAAAAAAAUUCAAAAUUCAAAAUUAAAAAAAAUGGCACAUCAGCAAUUUUCAGCCAAAAUUGGUCAGAUGAACUCAAUUGGGAAGAAAUUAAAAUAUUUAGGAUCAAAUUAAUAAAAUUAAAAGGUUUAUGAAAAAAUAUAAUAGAUUUAAGACUUUUUGAACAAUUUUCCCCCCAUUUUUUAUUUGUCAUAAAUUGAUACCACGUUACAAUGCAUAUUUCAACAUCCUUCAACUCUUAGUAAGCUUUUUAUUUAGCACAUAUUCCGUACAUUUAUAAUAUUAACUUAUUUAAUAUGAGCUAUCAUGUUAUAUUUUAUUUUAUUGAUUUGUUAAUAUGAUUCACUUAUGAAAUAAACGGAAUGUUUCUCAUGUUAAGUAUCUAUAGAACUUUUUAAUCUUGAUAACCAUCACUUGUAUGUAUGUAGUCAUAUAACAGAACACUCUAACAAUAUAUUCUUUUUCCUUCUUUCAUGGACAAUUUUAUUAUAUUCACCUAUUGUAAAGCAUGUUAACUUUAUGUUAUGAUAGAUAUUUCUAGUCACAAUGGCUAUCCACACACCCUUUCAAUCAUAAUAGUUGUAAUUUAUUAUACAUUUCGCUAUACUUGUUAUAGAAUUAUAGUCAGUCAUAUAAUAGAUGCAUGUUUAUGUUUAUGUUUAUGUUCUGAUAGAUAUUUCUAGUCACAAUGGCUAUCCACACACCCUUUCAAUCAUAAUAGUUGUAAUUUAUUAUACAUUUCGCUAUACUUGUUAUAGAAUUAUAGUCAAUCAUAUAAUAGACGCCUCUAGACAUAUACUUGUUUUCUUCUUUGAUGUUUUAUUUUAUUUAUACUAUUUAUAAAGCAUGACAUAUAUAAAUUGUGAUUACGGAUAAUUACAAUUUAAUAUAUGAAUUUUAAACAUUUAAUAAUUAAUUUGUGGUCGAGAUUUAAGCUUAAUCAUAUGGUAUGUGAUCAUACGAACAUAACUAUUUUUUAUUAAAUAAUUAAUAGUACGAUUGACAUAAUAAUUAUAGCACAAUUAAGCAUUAACUAAUAUAAUUAGUAAUUAAGAUGAUCAUUUUAUUAUGAACAUAUAAUAUUAACUUAUGAAAAAUUUAGAUAACCAUAUCUAAUAAGGAGCCACUAACAUUGUGCUAAUUAGUAUAUUAUAAAUAUUUUUUAACCUAAUAACUGAUAAUGAAUAAUCAAGAUAACAUUAUCACUAUUUCAUCAACUAUUUGCCUAUUAAUUAACAUUCUAUUUAUUAAUGAUAUGAUAUGUGAUUAAAGUCAAGAUAAGUAUAAUUGAUGUUAUCAUUACAUAAUUACCACAAAUGAUUUUAGUUAUAAUUAAUAUGUACGUUGAUUAUAGUCAAUAAUAUAAUAUUGAUAGGGUUAGAGAAAAAAAAAAAAGACGUGUAUUUUGGAAAUAGCUACUGUGGCCCUGUAGUAAUAGCUAUUACACAACGGGGUGAUAGUUAUUACAAUUUGGCAACGAUAACUUUCAUUGCUAGUAGAUAUUGUAUACUAUAACAGUCAUUACUGCAACCAUGUGUUGUAAUAAUCUAAACGUACUCUGAUAAUCCAUUGCUAUAAAAUAUAUAUGUAAAUAAAGCGUAUAAAUGUGUAAAACUAAAAGGCACUGGUUAUUUGGUAAUCACAUACUUACAUUCUAAUUAAUCCUAAAAAAUUACGUGACACUAGAUUAUUGUAGAAAAUGCAAAGUCUUAAAUCUUGUGCAUAGCACAAGAAUUCUACUACUAUUAGGAUUUGCAACACUAGAAAAAUAGGGAAUCUAAGACGUAAUAUAAAGAAGUUGUCACCCAGAAAAAAAAAAGCUGCAUAAAGAAGUAUGUGUUAUUAAUAAUAAUAAAAAAGAAGUGGAAAUACAAAUGUAAUUAACUAAAGAAUAUUAGCAUAUAGUUGCAUAAUGUGUCGACGGGGACAUGAUGUGGAAGGUCAUUCAAUUUUAAGUAAAUGGGUGUUGCAUGUGAGAAGAGGCAUUUCUCCAUUUUUCUAGUUAGCCAGAAAAUUUUUUGAGUUAUGAGUAAUGGCAUAGCUCCAAGGACAUAUCUAUUGUGUAUAUAUAUAUAUAUAUAUUUUUUUUUUUUGGCACCCAGAGAAUCUUCGUGCGCCGCUUCGCGGCGGAGUAAACCCUGAAGGAGCAGUAGAGUCAUCAUUACCCUUGCUGCUUCGGGUAAGUCGUGGGUUCCUUUCUCGCAAGGCAAACAAUGCAGCUAAUCGAACUCAUGAUCUCUCUCGAAAGGAACCUGCGCUCAACCAUUACGCCGUCAUCAUGGGUGGUCAUAUCUAUUGUAUUUUGAUCUUUAAAAAAGAAAGAAUUUAUGUGCAAGACAAUUUAUUGUAUAAGUGAAGUUGAGUCUGUUUAAAAUUUCAUGUGGUCAUGCAAUGUAUUUAAAUGUAGAAAGAAGAUGAAUAGCAAAUCACAUAACAUACUAUUUCAAAAUAAAUACCUUCUAAAUUACUAUUAAAAAUACGAAGAAACUGGUCUAUUCAAACUUACCCUAAAAAAAAUGGUGUAUGUUAAUGUAAACAUAAAAGAAGUAAAUAAUAUUUAUUGAUACCACUAAGUGCAAAGAAAGAAAAGAACUAAACAUAAUACAUGAACGCUAGAUAAAGUCAUAUACAAAAUAUGCCACUAAAAAUGCGAAGAGUAUCUGGUCUAAGUAUGUAACUUCCAAGGAAAGCAUCUAUUCAUCAAAAUAUGAAUAUUGUACUAUUUGUUAAAUGUCAUUUUUAGAAGAGAAAUGUCUUUUCAUGCAAUAGUGAAGUCAACGACAUUAAUUGAUGGGUACUUCUAUUUUAUAUUCGAGAAAUUAGAGAAAUGCUAGUAGAAUAACAAACGAACCAUAUAAAUAAUCACCGGAGCCUAACUAAUCAUUAAAAAAUUCGAAAAGUGAUGCAUCUUUAAAUGUAAUACUUUGAAUGGGCACGUUCAUUAAUGAGGGUAUGGAUGGGAGCUCUACUUAUGUAUGUUAUUUAAAAUAAACAUACUAUUUUCAUGAAGUAAAUAAUAUUAGCAAUAUAUUAUUUGGAGAUCCUAUUUUUAUCAUUCAACAAAUUGUGUAUGGUCAAUCAUAAAGACCAUAAAAUAUUAAACUUGGAAGUUAGGUAUUUUAACGAUACAUACAUGACCUUAUUUUUAUAUAGAGAAUUGUCAAAUAUUACAUUUGUAUGAUAACAUAGCUUUACACUUAAUGAUAAUUAGUAAUAAAACUAAGCAACUUCAAAACCAUAUGCUUGCACAUAAGUAAUAUUAACAUAAUAUGAUUAAUCUUCAUGUCCAAUAUGUCUGUUAGCAAGGUCUUGUUAAUCUAUGGGCAAAUUGGUAAAAAAUUAGAUGAUUGCUAUUGCUUUGUAACAAAAUCAACACGAAAUGAACAGAUAGCAUUAAACAUCUAAAGUAAUAAAAAGAGAAAUAAAAAUCAUUUAUAUAACAUUUGAUAUAUGUUUUCUUCCACACGUAAUGAAAAACACUCGUUGAAAAAACAAAUGAUAAGAAAGGAAUGUAAAAUACGUGUACUUCUUGGGAUGGAAUUCUUAUUUUCAUUUUGCUAUUGAGAAUUGCAAACAAGAUACAUAAGAAAAAGAGGGGGAUUCUACAAUUGGGAUUCUUGAGUAUUGAUACAUGUUUUGAUGGCAAGUUUGAUGGAUGUAUUUGAAUUGUAAGAACCAUGUUAUUUCGCAUAUAAAGAAUAUGAAUUAGGGUUUUGUUGUUUCCCAAAUAAAGGGCAUGAGAUUUGAUAGAUAUAUUUGAAGCAGAGUGUGCAUGAAGAGAGACCUUCUAUUGUAAUUUUGAAAGGAUGCAACUUUUGGAAAUUUAAAACGUGCAAAUUGUGAAGGGCAUAAUUGGUAGAGGAAAAUUGGGGGACCCCCUCUUGAGCUUCACAUUUUUAUAUAGAUUAGAUAAGGAAUAUGUAACCACAAUCUAUCAUGUCAUGAAGUCGAAGGUGAGAACCCCACAUCAUUAUAGUACGACAACAUAGUUGAAAUAAUACAUCUUUUCUUGUAUAUAGUUAGUCUCAUCCCAUCAUCCAAUAAUAUGAUCCACAAUGUUUUUCAAUUCUAGGGCACAAGUAAAAUUGAGGCCCUUUGUCUCGACAAAGAUGAUGGGAGAGAAAGCUACACGGUUGAAAACUUUAAACAAUUGACCAGCUUGAGGUUCCUUAAAUUGAGCGGAGUGAACAUCACUGGAGAUUUUCACAACUUUCUUCCUCAAUUAAGAUGGCUUGAAUGGGAUAAUUGUUGCUUGGAUUUUGAAGAGGCUAACUUUCACCCAAAGAAAUUAAUCGUGCUUGACUUGGGGGAUAGUCAGAUUUCGGAGGACUGGGGAGGAUGGGGCCCAAUAAAGGUAAGAUGUAGAGAAGGCAUAUCUUUUAAAAAUAACCAUGUGUUAUCAACGGCCCCAAUUGUACCAAGUUCUCCUUUAUUUCUUCUGAAAAUCCUUUCUCAUAUAAUGAAUUUUCCUCUAAGCAUAAGAGGAAUUUAUAGGCACUUAAAUAUGUUAGAAGCUUUUGCCUCUUAAUAUUUCAACAACUAGUCACGCUUAACAUCAGACUUACUAAUAAAAACUCUUUUAAUUGUAUUAAUUAACAUCUAUCAAAAAUAUAAUUAUAAUAUUGUGCCAAUCUUAACUUUACUUUAAAUUGUGUAUGGUUUCUAGUUAAUUUCUCCCCAUGCAAAAUUAUGUCUUUUUAGCAAUUCUUGUUAUAUGUAUAUAUGGCUCUUCUUUCAUGGAGAGACAAAAACCCUCACAAUGACUUGUGUUUAACAUACAAACUAAAAUUCUAAAUUCAUAGUUACUUUUAGAAUAAUGGAAAUAAUUUGUGAACUAUUUUGACUUGUUGCACACAAUAUUUAUUCAUUAUUAUUGUUGAUUGUUGAAGUCAUCGUACAACACAUUUAUAAAGUAGUAAUGUCAUAUGAGUAAUAAAAUUAUCCUUGAAAUGGCAUUUAAAUAAUUUUAAUGCAACACCUUUUUUAUAUCUUAUACAUAUAGCAUUCAAAAAUUGCUUUUUAUAAUUAAAGUAGCCAUUUCUCUUUGACUUCAUAAUAUUGAAGGAAAACAUAGCACCGAGUGAAUGCAUCUCUUUUCUUCCAUUUGACUUUGUCAUUUGUAAUUUGAUAAUAAAAUUUGCAUAUGUCUAAUUAAUAAAUAACAUCAUUGUCAUAACUAUAAAAAAAUAAAUAUGAUAGUUGCUAUGAAAUUUUAUUUGCAAAUAAUUGUAGUUAGUACUUUNNNNNNNNNNNNNNNNNNNNNNNNNNNNNNNNNNNNNNNNNNNNNNNNNNNNNNNNNNNNNNNNNNNNNNNNNNNNNNNNNNNNNNNNNNNNNNNNNNNNUGAUAUGCUUAAAAACAUUUAUAUACUAGCUUAGUGAAUGCACUACUGAAAAGAAACAUUUAAAAUUAAAUAAGAUAGCUGUAAAGGAGUAGGGAGCACAAGUAUUUUUUUUGGAUCCAAUCUCAAAAUGGUGACUUCUCUUUUCUUUCAGAUGGCAAUGGAGCUCAAAGUUCUUUUCCUUUCGAAAUGUGCUUUGAGAACAACUCCCGACUUAUCUGCUUUCAAUAGCUUGAAGACUUUGUGUCUUUAUGAUUGUCAGGAUCUAGAGGAGAUUCAUCCUUCUAUCGAGGACAUUAAGACCCUCGUCACCUUGACUAUUGAAAAGUGUCAUAAAUUGAAGGGGCUAACGCUAGGAGUAGGUAGAAUGAAAGAAUUGAAGGAGCUAAUCAUAGGUGACACUCAUAUACGAGAAAUUCCUAUUUCAAGAGGUUGUUUGAUAAAGCUGAAGACUUUAGAUGCCUCAUAUUGUAGACAACUUGCUCGACUUCCAGAAUCCUUGGGCUCUUUUAUAUCAUUAACUCAGCUAAAUCUAUCAAACACAGGAAUUAAAGAAUUACCCGAAUCCAUUGGAUCUUUGAAGAAGCUCAAGACUUUAAAUGCAUCUUAUUGUGCAUCGUUAGUCUGUAUACCCAACUCAAUAGGUGAUUUAACAUCUCUAUCUCACCUUAACCUAAUAAAAUGCCAAAAAAUUGCUCAACUUCCAGACUCUAUAGGCUUCCUCGUGUAUCUAUUGUGCUUGUUAUUGUCAGGAUGCCACUCGUUAAGACAAAUCCCAGACUCGAUCGGAAAGUUGACAUCAUUGAUAGAGCUGGAUUUGGAAUCUACCGCCAUUGAAGAAUUACCUGAAUCCAUUGGUUCUUUGAAGGAGCUCAUGACUCUAGAUGCCUCUUAUUGCAAAUCGUUAGCCCACAUACCCAACUCAAUAGGCAAUUUAACAUCUCUGUCUAACCUUGACCUGAAUGAAUGCCAAAAACUUGCUCAACUUCCAGAAUCCAUAGGCUCCCUUGUGUAUCUACAGUGGUUGUUAUUGUCAGGAUGCCACUCGUUAAGACAAAUCCCAGACUCGAUCGGAAAGUUGACAUUAUUGAUAGAGCUGGAUUUGAAAUCUACGGCCAUUGAAGAAUUACCUGGAUCCAUUGGUUCUUUGAAGGAGUCAGACUCUAGAUGCUCUAUUGCAAAUCGUUAGCCCACAUACCCAACUCAAUAGGCAAUUUAACAUCUCUGUCUCACAUUUACCUGAAUGAAUGCCCAAAAACUUGCUCAACUUCCAGAAUCCAUAGGNNNNNNNNNNNNNNNNNNNNNNNNNNNNNNNNNNNNNNNNNNNNNNNNNNNNNNNNNNNNNNNNNNNNNNNNNNNNNNNNNNNNNNNNNNNNNNNNNNNNCACUCAUUGAGACAAAUCCCGGAUUCGAUCGGAAAGUUGACAUCAUUGAUAGAGCUGCAUUUGAAAUCUACGGCCAUUGAAGAAUUACCUGAAUCCUCUGGUUCUUUGAAGGAGCUCCAAGACUCUAGAUGCCUCUUAUGCAAAUCCUUAGCCCACAUACCCCAAACUCAAUAGGCAAUUUAACAUAUCUGUCUCACAUUUACCUGAAAUGAAUGCCAAAAACUUGCUCAACUUCCAGAAUCCAUAGGCUCCCCUUUUGUAUCUACAAUUCUUGGUAUUAUCCGAAUGCCACUCAUUGAGACAAAUCCCGGAUUCGAUCGGAAAGUUGACAUCAUUGAUAGAGCUGCAUUUGAAAUCUACGGCCAUUGAAGAAUUACCUGAAUCCAUUGGUUCUUUGAAGGAGCUCAAGACUCUAGAUGCCUCUUAUUGCAAAUCGUUAGUCCGCAUACCCAACUCAAUAGGCAAUUCAACAUCUCUGUCUCUCCUUGACCUAACGGAAUGCCAAAAACUUGCUCAACUUCCAGACUCUAUAAGCUUCCUCGUGUAUCUACUGUGGUUGUUAUUGUCAGGAUGCCACUCGUUGAGACAGAUCCCAGACUCGAUCGGAAAUUUGACAUCAUUGACAGAGCUGCAUUUGAAAUCUAUGGCCAUUGAAGAAUUACAUGAAUCCAUUAGUUCUUUGAAGGAGCUCAAGACUCUAGAUGCCUCUUAUUGCAAAUCGUUAGCCCACAUACCCAACUCAAUAGGCAAUUUAACAUCUCUGUCUCACAUUUACCUGAAUGAAUGCCAAAAACUUGCUCAACUUCCAGAAUCCAUAGGCUCCCUUGUGUAUCUACAGUGGUUGUCAUUAUCCGAAUGCCACUCAUUGAGACAAAUCCCGGAUUCGAUCGGAAAGUUGACAUCAUUGAUAGAGCUGCAUUUGAAAUCUACGGCUAUUGAAGAAUUGCCUGAAUCCAUUGGUUCUUUGAAGGAGCUCAAGACUCUAGAUGCCUCUUAUUGCAAAUCGUUAGCCCACAUACCCAAUUCAAUAGGCAAUUUAACAUCUCUGUCUUACCUUGACCUGAAUGAAUGCCAUAAACUUGUUCAACUUCCAGACUCUAUAGGCUCCCUCGUGUCCUUGCUGUGGUUGUUAUUAUCGGGAUGCCAUUCGUUGAAACAAAUUCCAGACUCGAUCGGAAAGUUGACAUCAUUGACGGAGCUGAAUUUGAAAUCUACGGCCAUUGAAGAAUUACCUGAAUCCAUUGGUUCUUUGAAGGAGCUCAAGACUCUAGAUGCCUCUUAUUGCAAAUCGUUAGCCCAUAUACCCAACUCAAUAGGCAAUUUAACAUCUCUGUCUCACCUUGACCUGAAUGAAUGCCAAAAACUUGCUCAACUUCCAGAAUCCAUAGGCUCCCUUGUGUAUCUACAGUGGUUGUUAUUGUCAGGAUGCCACUCGUUAAGACAAAUCCCAGACUCGAUCGGAAAGUUGACAUCAUGAUAAAGCUGGAUUUGAAAUCUACGGCCAUUGAAGAAUUACCUGAAUCCAUUGGUUCUUUGAAGGAGCUCAAGACUCUAGAUGCCUCUUAUUGCAAAUCGUUAGCCCACAUACCCAACUCAAUAGGCAAUUUAACAUCUCUGUCUCACCUUGACCUGAAUGAAUGCCAAAAACUUGCUCAACUUCCAGAAUCCAUAGGCUCCCUUGUGUAUCUACAGUGGUUGUUAUUGUCAGGAUGCCACUCGUUAAGACAAAUCCCAGACUCGAUCGGAAAGUUGACAUCAUUGAUAGAGCUGGAUUUGAAAUCUACGGCCAUUGAAGAAUUACCUGAAUCCAUUGGUUCUUUGAAGGAACUCAAGACUCUAGAUGCCUCUUAUUGCAAAUCGUUAGCCCACAUACCCAAUUCAAUAGGCAAUUUAACAUCUCUGUCUUACCUUGACCUGAAUGAAUGCCAUAAACUUGCUCAACUUCCAGACUCUAUAGGCUUCCUCGUGUAUCUACCGCGGUUGUUAUUGUCAGGAUGCCACUCGUUGAGACAAAUCCCAGACUCGAUCGGAAAGUUGACAUCAUUGACAGAGCUGCAUUUGAAAUCUACGACCAUUGAAAAAUUACCUGAAUCUAUUGGUUCUUUGAAGGAGCUCAAGACUCUAGAUGCCUCUUAUUGCAAAUCGUUAGCCCAUAUACCCAACUCAAUAGGCAAUUUAACAUCUUUGUCUUCCCUUGACCUGAAUGAAUGCCAAAAACUUGUUCAACUUCCAGACUCUNNNNNNNNNNNNNNNNNNNNNNNNNNNNNNNNNNNNNNNNNNNNNNNNNNNNNNNNNNNNNNNNNNNNNNNNNNNNNNNNNNNNNNNNNNNNNNNNNNNNNNNNNNNNNNNNNNNNNNNNNNNNNNNNNNNNNNNNNNNNNNNNNNNNNNNNNNNNNNNNNNNNNNNNNNNNNNNNNNNCUUAUUGCAAUCGUUAGCCCACAUACCCACACUCACACAGACAUUUAAACUCUCUGUCUCACCUUGAACAGAAUGAAUGCCAAAAACUUGCUCAACUUCCAGAAUCCAUAGGCUCCCUUGUGUAUCUACAAUGGUUGUCAUUAUCCAAAUGCCACUCAUUGAGACAAAUUCCGAAUUUGAUUGGAAAGUUGAUAUCAUUGACAGAGCUACAUUUGAAAUUUAUGGCCAUUGAAGAAUUACCUGAAUCCAUUGGUUCUUUGAAUGAGCUCAAGACUUUAGAUGCCUCUUAUUGCAAAUCGUUAGCCCGCAUACCUAACUCAAUAGGCAAUUCAACAUCUCUGUCUUGCCUUGACCUAACGGAAUGCCAUAAACUUGCUCAACUUCCAGACUCUAUAGGCUUCCUCGUGUAUCUACCACGGUUGUUAUUGUCGGGAUGCCACUCAUUGAGACAAAUCCCAGACUUGAUCGGAAAGUUGACAUCAUUGAUAGAGCUGCAUUUGAAAUCUACGGCCAUUGAAGAAUUACCUGAAUCCAUCGGUUCUUUGAAGGAGCUCAAGAUUCUAGAUGCCUCUUAUUGCAAAUCGUUAGCCCACAUACCCAACUCAAUAGGCAAUUUAACAUCUCUGUCUCACCUUGACCUAAAUGAAUGCCAAAAACUUGCUCAACUUCCAGACUCCAUAGGCUCCCUUGUGUGCUUGCCGCGGUUGUUAUUGUCGGGAUGCCACUUGUUGAAACAAAUUCCAGACUCGAUCGGAAAGUUGACAUCAUUGACUGAGCUACAUUUGAAAUGUACGGCCAUUGAAGAAUUACCUGAAUCUAUUGGUUCUUUGAAGGAGCUCAAGACUCUAGAUGCCUCUUAUUGCAAAUCGUUAGCCCAUAUACCCAACUCAAUAGGCAAUUUAACAUCUUUGUCUUCCCUUGACCUGAAUGAAUGCCAAAAACUUGCUCAACUUCCAGACUCCAUAGGCUCCCUCGUGUCCUUGUUGCGGUUGUUAUUAUCGGGAUGCCAUUCGUUGAAACAAAUUCCAGACUCGAUCGGAAAGUUGACAUUAUUGAUUGAGUUACAUUUGAAAUCUACGCCAUUGAAGAAUUACCUAAAAGCAUUAANNNNNNNNNNNNNNNNNNNNNNNNNNNNNNNNNNNNNNNNNNNNNNNNNNNNNNNNNNNNNNNNNNNNNNNNNNNNNNNNNNNNNNNNNNNNNNNNNNNNNNNNNNNNNNNNNNNNNNNNNNNNNNNNNNNNNNNNNNNNNNNNNNNNNNNNNNNNNNNNNNNNNNNNNNNNNNNNNNNNNNNNNNNNNNNNNNNNNNNNNNNNNNNNNNNNNNNNNNNNNNNNNNNNNNNNCAAUCCUGCAUUCCUGAAUUUUUCUCACUAAACUUUCUCAAGAGACUCACUCUUUCUAACUGGCUUAAAUGUCUCUCAAACCUUUCUAUAACAUGUUAUAGAAAAGCUAUGAAACUUGAUUUUGUAUCUUACAAAAGUUCGAGCUGUUAGUUGGGCAUUUUAUUUACCUUUUGUCUUGUGAUACAGUUCUCUUAAAGCGUUUCAAGACUCCUCCUGCCAACAACUUAGCCAUGGACUACCAAACAACAGAUGAACAUCCUUUGAAGAGAUCAAAACCUUUUGGAAUCUCAAAUGAAGUACUUAUUUCAUUUUGCUUUUUCUUUGCCGUUCUUCAGUUAUUAAAGGAUGGUUCCAUCUACAAAGAGAAGUAUUUUACUGAAUGAUCAAUUAUUUGUUAUGUGUGGAAUGCUUUGAUCAACAUUCGUAACUAGAUCCAUCAAACUUGUUACAUUCUCGCUAUUUUAAGUCUUUUGUUCUGGAAGUAGGGAUUUUAGUUUUCUUGAAUUAUGAAGUUAAGGUGGAAUAUAUUGCCCGUUCUCUUGUGUUUCUCUCUCUUAAUUAUCUUUAUUUGCACGCCAUUGAUCGAAAACUUUUUGAAAGCGCACUCAUUUGGGUGCUAUUGCGGCAUAUGAUCAUGCAUUGAGAAUCUUCACGAGUGUAGGGGUUAUCUCACAUCAGUUGUGGAAGGAAAAAGUAGUUAGUUUAUAAUUGUGAUGGAAAGUCUCAUCCUUUAAGUUAGCUUUUAAGAUGAGAUAAGCCCAAGACCACCCAACAAAAAAAAACUUUUAGUUUUGAGGUUUCUAGAUACCCUUAAUCUUCAUGAUGUUAACCUAAUGAAAUUAUUGAAGAUUGGAAGGAUAACAAGAAAGUUUGAUGGAGAGAGAAAGGAGCAAAAGGGCUAGGGUUGUCAAUUUGUGUCCUCUUGUCAUAAUUGUGUUUGUGAUUGUGUCAAUUCAUCAUGACUUCUAUUAGACAUGUCAACCCAUUGAAUUAGAUGAAAACAUGUAAAUAUCUCAUCAAGUUAAAUGUAUCGUGAUGUGUCAUAUUGGGUUGUGUUUGUGUUUUUCGUGUUUGGUAUUGUUAUGUAAACAGUAUGUGUCACUAUUGGCAGCAUUAAUGAGAAGCGUGGACUGGAUAGGUGUUGAUUAUGUCUCCUCCCAUCAUGCAUGCAUUGUGCUCACGUAUGCUAGUACAAGAGGGGCUCUCAUAUGAGUCUUUUGCAUCUUUUGAGUGCCAUGGUUUUGAUCAAUUUUCUAAAGGACUCAUUAGUUUUGUAAUCUUCAUGACUUUCUAAUAGGUGAAUAAUUUGCCGGGAAAGAUUUUUCCCAUUACAUACAACUACCAGAGCUUUGGUCAGAGUUCUUAUUCUUCAGAUGACUUGCCUAGAAAUGUAGUCGUUACCCUAAGUCAUGAUUCACUUGUUAAAAGUAUGGAUUUCCAUCCAGUGCAACAAAUUCUACUGCUCGGUUAGCACUUCUUUCUUACUCUAUGAAGAACUUGUUUCUUGAUCUUCUUUAGUUGGAUAUACUUGUUGGCCAUAAGUUUGUGUUUUGGUGCUUGGAAGAUUCCUGUUUGUUGUUUUUUAUGCUCGCUUCAGCUAUUUGAAACCAAGGGAUAUGAUUCUUCAAAUUUUCUGCAUCAAUAAUUUUUAGUGGGAACAAAUACGGGUGAUGUCAUGGUAUGGGAAGUAAGCAACCGUGCAAGGAUUGCUUUGAGAAAAUUCAAGGUUUGGAAUUUGGGAACACGUUCAAUGGCGUUGCAGGUAUAUAAGUUCCACUCUAAAUAAAGUCAUGUAUCUUGUUUUUGGACAUGUAAUUGGGGGUUUUGAUUCUUUGUAGGCUUCUCUAGCCAAUGACUAUACAGCAUCCAUUAAUCGUGUAACGUGGAGUCCUAAUGGACUUUAUUUUGGUAUGUACAGAUGUCACUUCUACUUGUCUUAUUGCAAAUUGAUGAAACAACUAACGCGCUGAGAAUGAGACUUCAUUGCAAUAUUUUCAGGAAAAAUGUUCAUAUGCUGCUAUUACUGAUGAUUUGUGGUGUUCACUUUAGGUGUUGCUUAUUCCAAACACAUGGUGCACAUAUACUCGUAUUACGGUGGUGAUGACAUGAGGAACCACCUUGAGGUUUGUUGCUAAACAAGGAGUGAAAAAAUUCGGCUUCUUUUUGUAGACAAUUGCCACAUAAAAGUGAGUAAAACUUGAUUUUGACUCUAAACUAAUGUUUGAUACAGCUCGAGGCUCAUGCUGGAAGUGUUAAUGAUCUUGCCUUUUCAUAUCCAAACAAAUGGUUAUGCGUUGUGACCUGUGGAGAGGACAGGUCAAUCAAGGUAUAUCUUGAUUAUUUUCCUCAGUGUUGCAGCGUUCCAUCGUUUGAUCCCUUAACUAAGCUAGUAGUUUUGUAGGUAUGGGAUGUAAUGACUGGGGCUAAGCAAUACUGUUUCAAGGGUCAUGAAGCACCUGUAUAUUCUAUUUGUCCACACCAUAAAGAAAAUAUCCAGGUACUUGAUUAUUUCACGUACUAACAAAGACACCCUGCGAGCAUGGCCAAUCAGAUGUACCCUUGACUAUACACUAGACUUUUGUUUUCUAAAACUCAGUUAGGUAAAAAAAAAAUUGGUUCAAUUUGUAUGAGGAGUAUGAACCUAUGUUUUGAAGGACCUUGUUCAUUUCAAGGGUUUUGCAAGUCUUCCGACUUUUAACCUGUCUUGAUUAGAAUGUGCUUGUCAAACAUGGUGAAAUUGGUCCAAAGAUCAACCUACUAAUUUGAUUCUUUCAAGUAAUGCUACUAAGCAUCGACAACUAGGUAAAGGUCUUUGCAAUAAUGACUUCCUGCUUAAUUAUAUAUUCAAAAAGAAAAUUCCUCUACUACCAUUGAUUGUUCUCCCUUAGUUUUCUCUUUUAGUCACGAUUGGUUAAAUUUAUAAUAGAAGGCUGUUUAUUGUGUUUGAGUGGAGCAGCAAUUGGCAAUGUUAUCUUCUUCUUCUUCUUCUUUUUAAACAUUUAUGGUUGUGCAUAGUGUACACUUUAUUACAAAGAUGUCUUAUGAAAUCUCAUCAUUCUAGGAUGCUAUGUUUAAAUAAUUAUAGUUUAAGUGGAUGUGCUCUAUUUGGGCAUGUUACUGAAAUUGGUUAUACAAUUGUUUUAUCGUGUAGUUCAUCUUCUCAAUAGCAACAGAUGGGAAAAUUAAGGCUUGGCUUUAUGACAACAUAGGGUCAAGAAUUGACAACGAUGCACCGGGUCACUCUUCUACCGUGAUGGCAUACAACGCCGAUGGAAAAAGGUUUAGACCAUCAGCAUUGUAUAUCAAGCUUGAUUUCAUCCCGAGUCUUUCUUUUUCACUGAAAUAACCUAUUUUAGCGAUUUUAAUUUGCUAUAGGUUGUUCUCGUGUGGGACCAAUAAAGAAGGAGAGUCAUACUUGGUUGAAUGGAAUGAAAGUGAGGGGGGUAUCAAGCGUACAUAUCAUGGACUUGGAAAGAGUUCUAGUGGGGUUGUGCAGUUUGAUACCAUCAAAAAUAGAUUUUUGGCUACUGGUGACGAGUUCAUUAACAAAUUUUGGGAUAUGAACAAUGAUAGCCUACUUACAAGUACCGAUGCUGAUGGUGGAUUGCUGGUAAUUCACUGUUGUUAAUUUAUUUUGACUGAAUUAACUGAAACUUUCUAUUAAUUACCUCACUCUUUAAAUUUGCAGGCUUCACCUUGUAUUAGAUUUAACAAGGAAGGAAUCCUGUUAGCCGUCUCAACAAGUGAUAAUAGCAUCAAAAUUCUAGCAAAUUCAUUUGGGAUUGAGCUGCUAAGGACUGCAGAAAAACAUAUGCUUCUAGAGUCACUGCUAGGAGUCUUUUGAAGGUAAGCUUUUUUAACAAUACACUAACUUUAUGUAAAGAAGUCACUACUAGUCCAUUGUGGUCGGCUAAAACCCAAGGACUUGAUUACACUAGUUAUUUAAUUAAUGCUCUUUCAGUACCUAGACUUGAUUUAACUAAGUGUCCAUGCAGUCUUGGACCCUUUUAUUGACCUAUGCCACUUAAUUGGUGUCCAUGCAUGAGUGCACAAUAAAGGAAAAGUAAACAAUCAUUAUUAAUUCAACAAAAGUAAAGUAUAAGAAAAUACACCUAAUGAAGUGCCAAGCGAAGAAUACACAUGGCUUUGUUUUUAAGCCUCAAGACAACAACCUUGUAAGCUAAAUUCAAAUUAAGUCCAAUUCCUUUUCUCAAACACUAUUCUAUGUAACCUCACCUAAAUCAAAGGCACUCAUUAAAAUCUCUAAACCAUAUGUAGAGUAACUAAAACUAGAAGAAACUAAGCUACAUCUAGCACUAAAACUUAACGACCUAAUCAAGGUCUUUGUUAUUAACCAUUUUCCAAUUUUUCAUAUUUUCGAUUUUUUUUGAAAAUUUAAUUUUAAUUAUUUUCUGAAAAUAGGAAAUCGGGCCGGGCCCUUGGGCCUGGUCCGGAUAUGAGCCUCAUACUGGUCUCACGAAUCUGGGCUAAUGGACAAAAUUCGGGCUAUUAUAUCCAGAUCCAUCCAAUUCUAACUCUACUGAGCCCAAUUCAGAUUAUACCUAUUUUAAGCCCAUUUACCCAUGGAAGCUACUCUAGCUCACUUUCUCAUCUAACUGCACCAAGUCCAUCUUUAAGCCCAAUUUCUAUUACAAAUAGAUUAAACCCUAAGCCCACGCCAACCCUAUCUUACUAUUAUUAUUUUUAAUCCAUUUUUUCCUCUUUUCUUACAUCUUUCGUCAUUUUUUAUUAUUAUAAAAGUAAUCAAUGUUAGGUGUGCGAAGAGCCCCCCCUUUUUUUUAAGAGACUACCUGGUAAACUUUCCUGCAGUAACUUAAGCUAUAAAGGAUGGGUGAUGUAGCUUUUGUAAGGUCUUUGACAAAUAUUUCACAACUUUUUAGGAAAUUGCUUCGCCCGAUUUUGGGAUGUUGGAGCUGCUGUCGACGGCAUUGGGAAACAAUUUGGUAAAAGAAGUUGAAUUAACCUUCCAGCAAAGAAUUAUAAAGUGGAGAUGGUCAAUGGCAUUGGGAAACAAUUUGGUAAAAGAAGUAUUUCUAAGAGGUAUAAUAAGUCAGAACUCAACAAAAACGUCAGUGGAAGUGUUCAAUCAUGAAGAAGAAGAAGAAGCAAAACACCAUUCACUAAGGGAUAACUCGUGCACGCAGAAGGGAGGAAGCAGGGGAAAAUGGCUCCAUCUUCCAUCGUCUCCAGUCACCAUUGGAUAACCUUUCGUCGCGGUGUCUCAAGUUCCGAUAUAGCCGCUAGCUACCAUCGCCGUUCAUUACGAGUUCCAACUCCUUCGUUGGUUGCGCCGUCGACCAUCAGUCUCAGGAGGAUCACGUUUGUUCAUUUCAUCGCGAGCACCAUUCCAGAACCAAAACAAACAAAAACAUCGAGCAAGGAAAAUUCAUCUAAAAAAAGCGAUUCCGUUCGAUUCAGUUGGCGAUUUCAAGCGUUCUGAAUCGAUCACAGUGGCCGUCGCCGGCAUCAACAGCCUCUUCAAUGCCGCGACUCAUCUCCUUCGUUUCCCUUCAACGGCCGAGAGCUUCGAAAUGUUGUCGUUCCGCUCGAAGCUUCUCCACCUGUUCAGGUUUCGAUCAUCGACACGUUCUAGAGCUUCUUUCAGCGAUUCGUGCGCCAAACCGCGGCCUCAGUCCACUUGAUUAAGCAGGUAGCAUCUCCUGUUCUGUUGUCACGAGUAAGAGGCCGAGAGUCUGAUUCUCUUAUUAUGAUGAAAUUGAUCAUAUUUGAAUUUUUUUCUUUGACUUCGAACAUCAUGUACUGAUUUAGGUUGAGUCUAGUUGUAAAUUCGAGUUCGAAAUGGCUUUGAUAUGUUCCACAACCGAUUGACCAUAAUCUGUUCGAUGAAAUGUGUCUGAGACCCUGUUGUGAAUUGAUUCCAGUAAUCGUCCGAUCUGAAAAAGCGCAUUAGUGAUGUUCACUUGAUAUUGUUUGAUUUUUCAAUCUUUAGACAUGAUUACGAGUAUAUGCCAUAGUUGCCAAGAAUAAAACUGACUCUCCGCAUGUUUUCUCAGUGCUUCUUGUGAUCCUUUGGUGAUAGGUGGUGGUUGCCGGCAAGGGGAGAUGGAAUGGAGUCGCUGGCACAUGCAUUAGUCUUUGGUGAUGAUCGUAGCAUGCCCUGUUGAACAGAAUCGAGACGAUGUCGCUGAGCGUUAAUCGCCAAUUCAGAUAAUGAACUGCGGCCGACACAUGUUGCGGUCACUAACGGGAGCAAUGUUAUGCCUAGUCACUAUCCGCGUCCUUGCCACUGAGUCACCGUGCAAUCUCCUCGACUGCCAAGCUUUGCUUCAGUCCAUGCCUUGCAGACCAUCCUUGCCAUUGCAAUUGCUGUGCCACACCUUACCAUAAUGGCUAUUCAAGUGAACUCCGCAUGCGAUAGCACUGCCAUCAGAAUAAACCGCCAUACAUUACCAUUAUGGAUUGAUGUGGCAAUAGAGCUAUAUCCAUCACGUGUCUUUACAAUCGGUUGUUUCCGUUCCAACUGAGUUUUAGAGUCCAUUGUAUGUUCAGAUUUCCUUCGCUGCUUUGUUUUAAUGUUCAGGAUUUUGCGAGUCUUCUUAAACCGAAUCAUGGGAAAACUAAAUGGUUCGAAGUCCAGUCGUCAUGGGGUCGAUACUUUGUUGUAAAAUCAUUGUGCAUUACCUGCUUCCUGAUUCUUGUCUUGUCCUUUGGUUAUUGGUUACUUCACCUUCGUUGAUUUCAUUGUCCGGAAGUAGGUAAUCAAUCCAAGAGCACCUGCUAAAAUUGCAUUUUAGUUGUGUCAUCUGCUUCCUGCCUCAUUCUCUGUGAAUGACAUUCUACUUCUUGCGUGCUGUUGAGGGAAAUCAAUGGUUGACAAUCGAUAUGAAGUGAGCAAGUUAUACUUGUUUCCUGUCUUUAGUUGAUAACUUUUUGCGUAUGACAAUCGAUUAAUUAAACCAGUCCAUAGCUUGCACGAAAAUAGUAAAUGAGGAUUUACUUCUUUCUUGGAAUUAUCAAUGUCAUCGCUUUGUCUCUGGUAGUGGAAGAGUUUAUCAUUCUUUUUGAACUUUUUGAACUUGUAUAAGAAUCAAUGGAAUUCUCAUGGAGCAUUGAGUACCCAAAAUUUACAAGUUAUAUGAAGUGGUGGUGUCCUUUUGUUGCAUAUGCUGGAGUUUAGCGGUUAGUGUUCAUCUAUGUUUGUUGAACCGUUUGAUUUAUCACUUCAAUCGACAAAAUCUCAUAAACAGACAUGACAAUUGCGAGAGACGUCUUUGAACUGGCACUUUGGUGAUGAUGGUGCUCCUUCGUGUCGACUGUAUUUACUUGUUUGAGGAAGAAUCAUUUAUGAUAUUUUAUGAUAUUGGAGAAGUGAAUAUGUAUGGAAGGUUCCUUGGAUUCACAAGAAUAAAACCACUCGUGAUCCUGGAUCCACUCAUUGAAGAAAUGGAGAGAGAGAAUUUCCACAUGGACGAUGUGAAUGGGUCGUUGCUAAGCUUCUCGGCUGUUUGUUGAAUUUGAUUUGCAUAAUGGGUUGAAGCUAGCAUUUUAGUAGUGCUGGAAUUCCAAAACUGAGACGAACUGAAGAAUUUGAUGUUAAGUAUCUAAGCAAUGCCCACAAUUAGUAACAUGUUCUGAGCUAAUCAAGGUUUGUCAUCUGAGUAUAUCGCCAAGUAGUGCAUAACUUAGUCCUUUUUAGAGUAAUGCAUCAUUUAGUUAGAAAUUCGAGCAUGUUUAGAUUAGUACUUAGCUCAUGUGGGUUACUGUCUCGGGCUUAGCUCGAGAAUUCCAGCACAUUAUGACUGGAUGUAUAACCUUCCACAUCAUACAAAACCACAUAUCAGACGAACCCAAAGAUUUUCCGUUGUUCCACAAAUUAAGCAGGCUGGCACUUUAUCUUGCUGCUGGCAUAGUCGGCAAACCUGAUAAAGAACAGAACCAAAAUCUUAUUCACAAUCAGUUCAAAGAUGGGCACCCCUGAUGAUGUCGCAGUACGUAACCACAUUUCCGAUAAAGUUAAUCCUUGCAGUCAAUCAAGUAUGUGCCAUACUUGAAAUCUUUAGCAAUGUAAUUGAACCUUCCAAGAAAAUCAAAGGAAGACCCUUGGCACGGCACCAGCCUGGGGUAAUGUUGUAUUGACUUAUUUUAAACAUAAAGAUUGAAGAAUCAAGCGAAUGUGCACAUGUCCAUCAACGUAUGUCUUACAGGGCAUUUUUUUCAUCUUCAUAUAUAUAUUCGAGUUCAAAGGUACAUUUUUGCUACAAAUUCAUGUGGAUAGAGCGCAAUCACAAUUAAGUAGAAUAUCACUUGAAAUGUAAAAUAUAACCAUGCACCAUCUUAAUUAAGAGCCUGGAGAAGUUUAAGGUGAGGUGAGUAUAUAAGUUUAACACAUAAACUCAAUAUUUUAUGUUUGGACAGUGCUAUUACUUUCGUCACCAUUUGACUCACAAGAAAUAUGACGUAGAAGUGACAGGACCAUCAAAUCUAAUAACCAUGAUGAGACACUGCAAAUAUUCUCAUGUGAGAGUAUGAGAAACAACAGAAAAACAAGUCCAAGAAGCCACACAUUGACAUAUUCCAAAUCACCAAAGAAAUGUCAUAAUAAUUUAAAAAGAAAUCCAAAACUUUGUAAGCAAGAUAGAGUAAAGAUCUAACAUAAGCCUGAAUGAAAAAAAAAAGAUUUUUUUUUUUAUAUACUUUUCAUCCCUGUACUGCCACCUUUUUAUGUAAUUAUGUCCAUAUACCUUAAACUUGUCGAAUCAAGUCUUUCUAUAUUUACAAAUUUACUAAUCAAGACCCAACCAAAUUUAAUUGACGUAACCCUCGAAUGAUGCCCCAAUAUGAUGCAAAUGCUCACGUAGACAUAUGUGGAAAAAUUUAGCCAAUGUAGACAAUGUUAGAAUGUGACAUGGAUAAAAUUUAGCUAAGGUGUUAGUCAAAGUAACGUCCAUAUUGGAGAUUUUUUUAUCUAUGUCACACACUGACAUCAUUUGAUGAUUACGCCAACUGGAUCUGGCAGGAUUUUGUGUUUAUUGGGAUUUGAUUAGAAAAAUUUGUUAAAUUUGAAUGACUUGACUCGACAAAAUAAAAGUACGAUGGAGAGAACAGUAAAGUAGGGAAUAUUUCAAAAAACCAACCGCAAAUCCAGUCAGCAAAUAUCAGCAAAAGAUAGUGGCAGUUGCUGAGAAAUUAUGGUCUAAACUACUCUUAUCUGCACCAGCAAAAGAAAGCCUCACCUGACAAGACAACUAAGUCUAUUUUGUACCACAUGAGCAAUGAAUGGAAUGGUCACUCUUGAGUACUCAAAAUUCCGCUGGUGUGUGGGUCCGAUCUCAACGACAUCAAAAGCCAAGAAAAGGUCGCGACUGUGAACAUGUCUAUAAACUUAGUCUCAUUUUAUCAUAUGCUUUGACAGGGAACAAAAUUUCUAAGCCAAACUAGCAGCUGUGAGGGAAAUAUAUUCAGCAAGGGAUGUUGACACCUAAAAUUUGAUGAUCUAGUUAAUUAUUCAUUGCAAAAAUUAAGUAAAAUUGAGGAUUGAUCCCGGUCCCUAAAAAGAUAUUAGCUAAGUUGCAUAUACAUAUUAGAAGCAUUUUUCAUUCAUUAAAUAGUAAGCCCACAUAUGAUUACACUUCGAUUGGACUGGUGUAAGGAGAUUAUGAGCUUAAUUGAGUUUAUUAGACUAAGCCCAUGAGAAUGAGAAAUUCGGCCUAACCCGUCUAUUUCCUUUGCUCGACCAGACAUCAAAUAUGCAGUAUAAGGAAUUUAGCACGAAUGAAGGAGCAAAUAUUCGUUAUUAAGGAAUAUAUUCUGAAUAAUUUUUUGGGAGAAUUAACUGGCCAAUUCUUUCCAUUAUUAAAGAUGCGCAUCAUGCUUAAAGUAGGCAAGUUAAUUUUUCUUAGUCAAAUCUGGAAGUAAUUGAACACUAUUUGAAAGGAUAAAAACAAAAAUAGAAAAAUAAAAAGGAAUAAAACAGGGAAAAAGUACAAAAAAAGUCAUAAACUAUUGCAUCGAUAUCAAUUCAAUUCUAAAAUUUUCAAUUAAAUCAAUUAAAUCAUAAAUUUUUUCACAUUGGUACUAAUUUAGUCAAUUUGACCAAUUUUGGUCGGCUAGUGGCCAGAUGUUGACGUAGCAAUUUUUAAAUAAUUUUUUUGAAUUUUUUUAUUAAUUUUUCCUUCUUCUUUUUUUCCCUUUUCCUUUUCUCUCUUCUUCCACCUUAAACUAUACUCACGGUGGCCAGCAAACCUUUGGUGAGGCUCGCCAACCAUUGGGCGAGGGCCGUGAAGCCCUUGUCGGCCGCUAGUGAGGGUCGUGGCCUUCGCUUAGCCUUGCCCAAGGCCGCGAGCGAGGCUACUUUGCCUAGGUCCAGGUGAGACCAGCCUCGCCCUAGCCUUGCCUUAGGCGAAGGCGGCCUCGCCCGUGGUUGGCAAGGCCAUGGCGGCCAUCGCCAAGGCCUAAGCAAAGGUCACCAUGUCCUCACCUGCAGCCCCGGGCGAGGGUGUGACCCUCCCUGGCAACUGGCCAGUGCUUCGCGGCCCUUGCCUAGUGGUUGGCGAGCCUUGUGGGAGGCUUGCUGACCACCGCGAGUAUAGUUCAAGGAGGAAGAAGAGAGAAAAGAAAAGGAAAAAGGAAAAGGGAAAAAAGGAAAAAGAAAAGGAAAGGAAAAGGAAUUAUUAUAAAAGAUUAAAAAAAUUAUUAAAAAUUGUCACAUCAUUGUCUGGUUAGCGUCCACAUCAGUGUCGGCUUGCCAAAAUUAGCCAGAUGGAAUGAAUUGGUACCAAUAUGAAAAUGUUUAAGACUAAAUUGAUUCAAAUGAAAAAGUUUAGGACUAAAUUGGUACAAAUGCAAUAAGUUUAUGAUUUUUUUGGUACUUUUCCCAAGAAAAUGGUGAAGAAAGAAAGAGAAUGAAGGAGCAGAGGACGCCGACAAAGAGGAAGAGGAGGGAGCGAAGCCAAUGGUAGCGUGGGAGGAGCUAGGGUUGGAGGCGGCGGCGGUGACGAAAGGGAGGGGGUGAAGGAGAAGGAGAGAGGGGAGGAGGAGUUAGGGUUUACGGUCACAAGCAAAGAAAGAAAAGAGAAAACAAGAAAAAAGAAAGGAAAAGAGAAAACAAGAAAAAGAAAAAAAGAGAGAAAGAAAUAAGAAAAAAAAUAUAAUAUUAACAAAUUCAAAAUUUUUAGUUAGUAAAAUUUUUAGGAAUAAAUUUUUCAUUAUCUAAGGACUUUAAAACAUUUUGGAAAAUGUUUUCCAAUUCUUUCAAAUAGAAAUCGUUUUUAUGAAUUUAAGCUUUGGAGGGAAAACCUAUUCUAUUGAUUAGGAAAAUAGUUUAUGUUAACUUAUUUUCCUAAGUGAAUCAAACACUGGUAAAUGAGGAAAACGCUUAUUUAGGAAAUUGUUUUUCGCAAAACAAACACACCCUUCACUGUGUUCCCAAACACCUAGGGAGCUAUAGGACAUUAGUGUUCGCCGACACAUUUUCUAGGAUUGCCUUUUCCACAUUUUAUUUUUCAAAUUUCCAUGUUCUUUAACAAUAUUUCGGAAAAUGAAUGAUACAUGGGGGGAAAUUAGGAAUUCAACAUGAAACGUUGCAAACUAUUAAUUUGGAGGAGAGAGAUAAAAAUGAUUAGAUGGAGUGUAAAGACUGGAUAAUCUUUAAAUAUGAUGCAGCAUGGAGAAAUCUAAUUUGAGAAAAUUAUUUCGAAAGAGAUUUAUUUUGAGAGCUACUUUCUCGGUCAAAUCUCUUUUGAAAAAAGUAAUGCGUCCCGCACACUUUUAAUAACAAUAUCCUAUAUAAUCCCACGAUUGAUAUGCUUUUGUUAUCGACUCAUGUUCAUUAGCAGCUUCGACCAAAAAAAUGAAGAAGAAGAAAAAAAAAUGUACAUUAGCAACAGGAGAAGGUGAUUGUCGGUAACCACUGGGAGUUCGCCCCAAUGACCACUCUUCCAACUUGGAAGGGGGAUGUUGGGAGUUCAAAUUCCUAACUUCGCGGGGGGAUUGGGGUGGGGAUGAUUUCAUUUCAAGAAUGGAUUUCGACUCCCACGUCCUGCAAUGAGGCAGGGCAAAAGUCUGAAAGUGAGUGUUAGAGUAAGAUUAUAGUAGGAUCGAAAAAAAGAAAAAAGAUGACUGUUGGUCGUUAGUUGUCUUUUUCUAUUCUGUCUAGUAAUACAAAAGGCUAGCCAAGUCAGACAAUGCUGGAGGAUCUCAAAUCUCAAUGAAAGCACAUGCAUGCACCAUCCUCGUAUAAUGCUGAGGAUCGGCGGAGAUCACAGCUGGCGCACGUGAGUAUUGCUCGUUGGUUCUCUUUUCUAUUUUCUUUCGUUAAUAUCGAAAGGCAAGUCAAGUCAAUCCGUACUGGAUCUCAAAUUUUGAUCAAAGCACCAGGCACGUGAUUGCAUGUGAGUAAUUGCUCGUUGGGUUCCGCACACAUUCCGCAAGAUGCUGCGGAAACUUCGCGUGCAAUGACUGUUCUUUCCGCGGCAUGUUUCGCUGCGGUUCGAUUAGCAUGAAGAGACUUCGACCGUUGGAUAGCUAGGCCCCAACAUUAUAUGCUUUGCACAAAUAGCCCCGGUCGAUCUUUUCAUGCGUCAACAAUUUUUAUCUAAUUAAUUUGACUAACCCAUAUAUAUAUAUAUAUAUAUCCGGAUGGAGAGGAAAUCCUAUUCAGGUAGAUAAAUUUCCACCGUAUAAUUCUAAUAAUGGAAAUUUGGUUCAUUCACUCUAAAUAUUUUGCCUUCCAUACCCAAAAUUUAGGACCUCACUAAUUUCAUCCUUUGCACUUCUAUAUCCUCAAGAAACUUUGAGCCUGCAUACAUCUUUUCUCUUGACAAUGUAAAUGGUUUAUAAAAUUUUUUUAGCCCUGAUUACAUCCUAGAUUGCAGUUUGUUUUAGGGAGGGUUUUAUCCGUUGAGCACACGCACUGAUUAGUAAAAGCAUCGCCAGGAGAAAAAAAUGAACUUUAUGGUUCUUCCCUAAACUUUAAUUUGCUUUCUCUUCGCUAGUUAAUCUUUCCUAUGUGCAUAUACUUGCUUCGUUCUUCCAUAACGAAACAUGUAAUUGGUAAAUUGUCGAACUUGUGAACUACAAUAUCCACUAUUUUAUCAAGUCUCAUUUUUUUUUUCCAUUUUUAAUUUGAGGUAGUACAUUAAACAUGCUAACAAAAUAGAAUCUAAAUAGGAAACAAAAAUAAAAAUAAAACAAUUGGCUAUGGUGCAAUAUUAUAUAGCAAUAUAAUUGGUCUAGGUCGUGAUAUUGUAGUGUAGUUGGUUUAUAAUAUCCAAUCACUAAUGACAAACGACUAUAACAAGUACAUAGAUCUUUUUCUUUUCCAUUUUUUUAAUUGAUAUGAGAAGGAAAAUAUAUUUAUAGGAUUAUAAAUAUUAAGAGAGAGAAUAGAUCUUGCAUUGCCAACAAAGCAACAUGGCAAAAAAGUUGUAUAAUACCUUAAGAUUGCUUCAUUUGCAGUACCUUUAUUAAAGAUAUAUAAAGUUGUAUAAUACCAAUGGCUAAGAUAUUAAGUGUAAUACUCAAAUAUAACCUUGUUUAAGAGAUAAUGACGACAAAGACAGCGAUAAAUAUGCCCUAUCCAAUAAGUAACUCACCGAUAAAAUACGAUAAAACCCAACUCGCCCUCGAGUGCUGUCGGAAUAUUAUUGCAAAUACAUCCAUGAAGCCAUCGAUAGAAGACACGUACUUGCAAAUACAUCCAUGGUCCAUAUUUGAAAUUCAGCACUCAAAAUUUUUAGUGAUUAUUUUUCAGUUUUAUCUUAACGGCACGUACUCGCAGCUUAUUUUUCACAAACGAAUUUAAGUUCAGCAUUGGCAAAAAAAAAAAAAAAAAAAAACAAGUUGAGUCGAGUUGAAAGUCGAGUUAUAGUACAUAAGCUUUGACUCAAAAUUACCAGUGCAAUCGUUUACUUUAAGUAGUUAGAGUACAAUGUUGAAUAUAUUUUGUCUUAACAGUUCAUUUGGUUUAACUUCUAGCUUUUUCUUGACGAUAAAGCAAGAAUUAGGUACAUAAAUUCACAAAUCAAUAAAUAAUCCACUAAUGCAAAGGAUCACACAAGACACAGGUCCCUAGUUAUGAAACCAUUUUAUGCUUACAAACGCGAGGAACCAAACACACGUCAUGUAUCUAGUUUCCAUACACUAAUUUUUGCUUUCCUUUCUCUUGCAACUCACACAGUUGAACUUUUGUUUAACAUAAAUAACUUAAAAGAUUCAAAAUGUGUAAAUACAGUCACGUAGAUAAUUAUACAAAUCUUUUUGUAAUUAACUUAAAUUAUAUAUUAAUUUUUUAAAUGUUAAACAUUUAUUAUGUUAUACCAAAAUUAUCUUGAAAGAGGUAAUACACCAGGCCAAAGUAAGGAGCCACCUCAGUUACCGUCGAGUCCACGUCCGUGUGGCCAUGCAGCGUUGUCGUCGAGGUCCGAGGGGCGAUGGAUAUUCCUGUCUCCUUUUUCAAAAGCCGAAGUAAUCACUCCGAAAGUCCAACCCCCAUGUCGCCUCGGUUGGGAAGUACACAGGAACUCGCUCGGUCCGCGCGCCACGUGAGGUCGAGGGGCAAGUCGGAGUGGCAGAAGAUAUCCUCGAGGUCCGAGGCGGGGACCCCGCUUAGGCUUCGGUUUCAGAGCAGCUGACCGUCGUAGCGGUCAAACAAGUACGUGCCGCACUUGAAAUCUCUAGCAACGUAAUUGAACCUUGCAAUAAAAUCAAAGGAAGAACCUCGGCGCAUCACCAGCAUAGGAGACCACCAUAUUGACUUCAUUUAAAAAGAAAGAACGACGAAUCAAGCAAAAGUUAGUAUGUACAUAUCCAUCUAUGCAUCUCUUACGGGGCGCUUUUUCAUCUUUUAAUAUAGACUCGAGUUCAAAGGUAAUUUUUUGCUACAAAUUCACAUGAAAAUAGCAUAAUUACAAUCAGUAGAAUAUCACUUGAAAUGUAAAAUAUGACCAUGCACCAUCUUAUCUAAGAGCCAAGUUUGAGAAAAGACUACCAAAAACCCUAAACUUUACCAAAAGUGACAAAUUUAUCUCAAACUUUUUUUGUGACGUGAAAAACCUAAAACUUUUCAAAUUGUAACACAUUUACCCAAUCAAGGGCAUUUUUGUCUUAUUUUUUCUCUUUUUUUUUUCUUCUUCUUCCCUCUACUGGCUAUGGUGGAGGGAAGCUGGCAUCCCGGCGAGGGCUGCCCUUAUCGACGUUGGGCUAGCUCAUGCGAGGGUCGUCUCGCCCUGGGGCUUGGCUANNNNNNNNNNNNNNNNNNNNNNNNNNNNNNNNNNNNNNNNNNNNNNNNNNNNNNNNNNNNNNNNNNNNNNNNNNNNNNNNNNNNNNNNNNNNNNNNNNNNNNNNNNNNNNNNNNNNNNNNNNNNNNNNNNNNNNNNNNNNNNNNNNNNNNNNNNNNNNNNNNNNNNNNNNNNNNNNNNNNNNNNNNNNNNNNNNNNNNNNNNNNNNNNNNNNNNNNNNNNNNNNNNNNNNNNNNNNNNNNNNNNNNNNNNNNNNNNNNNNNNNNNNNNNNNNNNNNNNNNNNNNNNNNNNNNNNNNNNNNNNNNNNNNNNNNNNNNNNNNNNNNNNNNNNNNNNNNNNNNNNNNNNNNNNNNNNNNNNNNNNNNNNNNNNNNNNNNNNNNNNNNNNNNNNNNNNNNNNNNNNNNNNNNNNNNNNNNNNNNNNNNNNNNNNNNNNNNNNNNNNNNNNNNNNNNNNNNNNNNNNNNNNNNNNNNNNNNNNNNNNNNNNNNNNNNNNNNNNNNNNNNNNNNNNNNNNNNNNNNNNNNNNNNNNNNNNNNNNNNNNNNNNNNNNNNNNNNNNNNNNNNNNNNNNNNNNNNNNNNNNNNNNNNNNNNNNNNNNNNNNNNNNNNNNNNNNNNNNNNNNNNNNNNNNNNNNNNNNNNNNNNNNNNNNNNNNNNNNNNNNNNNNNNNNNNNNNNNNNNNNNNNNNNNNNNNNNNNNNNNNNNNNNNNNNNNNNNNNNNNNNNNNNNNNNNNNNNNNNNNNNNNNNNNNNNNNNNNNNNNNNNNNNNNNNNNNNNNNNNNNNNNNNNNNNNNNNNNNNNNNNNNNNNNNNNNNNNNNNNNNNNNUGGCUUCCUUUCACGGAUUCCGCCAUGGCCGGCAGGGGGAAGAGAGAAGAAAAAAAAAAAGAAAAAGAAAAGUAAAAAGACCAAAAUGCCCUUUAGUUUAUGAUAAAUGUGUCACACGACAGAAGUUUAGGAUUUUUUAUAUCACAAAAGAAAGUUUGGGAUAAAUGUGUCACGGUUGGCAAAAUUCAUGAUUUUUAAAAUCACAAAAAAAAGUUUGGGGGUAAAUCUGUCACUUUGGACAAAGUUUAGGGUUUUUCGUGAUUUUUUCCAGCCAAGUUUAAGGUCUAAGAUCAGCAUUUUGAUAUCAUUACGAUCAUCUUAUAAGCAGUAAGCAUUCAAGUAGCAUUCAAGUAGCAUUCAAGUUUAAUACAUAAACUUGAUAUUUUAUGUUUGGACAUUGCUAUUACUUUUUUUUUUUUGGUAAGGUAACAUUGCUAUUACUUUUGUCACUAUUUGACUCACAAGAAAUUUAACAUAGGGAAAUUUAACAUAGGAGUGAUAGGACCAUUAGCCCUAAUAACCAUGAUGAGACACUGCAAAUAUUCUUGUGUCAGAGUAUGAGAAACAACAUAAAAAUAAGUCCAAGAAGCCACACUUUUGACCUAUUCCAAAUCACCAGAGAAAUAUCAUAAUUAAUUAAAAGAAAUCCAGAGCUUUGUAAGCACGGUGAAGUAAAGAUCCAGCAUAAGCCUGAAAGACAAAAUUAAGUUUUUUUUGGGUACUUUCAUCCCUAUACUUUCACUUUUUUCUCUCAUUAUGUCCCCAUACCUUAAACUUUUCUAAUCAAUUUAUUUUGCUUUCACAAAUUUCCUAAUCAAGACCCAACCAACCUUAGCUUAUGUAACCGUCAAAUAAUGCCCCAGUACGAUGCGGAUAACUUAUGUGGAUGCCCACGUAGUCAUGUAUGGAAAAAUUUAUCCAAUAUAGACAAUGUCAGAACGUGACAUGGAUAAAAUUUAGUUAAGGUGUAUGCCAAAGUAUAUGUCUAUAUUGGAAAAUUUUUGUUUACGUCACACAACAAUAUCAGUUGACAGUAAUGCCAGCUGGAUUUGGUCGAGUUUUGUGUUAGAGGGAUUUGAUUGGAAAAUUUAUGAAAUUUCAAAGAACUUGUUAGUAAAAUUACGGUAGAGAAAACGUGAAAGUAGAGGAUAAGAAGAAGACUGAUUUCGAAAAACCAACAGCUAAUCCACAGUCAGCAGAAGAAUGCCUUACCUGACAAGAUAAGUAGGUCUACUUUGUACCACGUGAGCAAUGAAUGGAAUGGUUACACUACAUCCUCACAAUUCCACUGGUAUCUGGGUCCAAUCUCAAGGACAUCAAAAGCCAUGAAAAGAUCACAACUGUGAACAUCUCUCUAUGAACUUGUCUCAUCAUAUGCGUCAAGAGGGAAUAAAAUCUUUAAGCCAAACUAGUAGUUGUGAGGAAAAUAUAAUCAGCAAUUAAUGUUGACACAUAAAUUUUGACUACCCAAUUAGUUAUUUAUCGCAUAGAAAAAUUAAAAAAUCGACCUCGUCCCCUAAAAAAAAUAUUAGUUAAAUUACAUAUAGAUAUUAGGAGCAUUUUUCAUUCAUUAAUAGUAAGUCCACAUAUAAUUACAUUUUGAUUGGACUGGUGCAAGGAGAUUUUGAGCGUAAUCGAGUUAAUUGGACUAAGCCCGUGGGAAUGAGAAAUUCAGCCUAAUCCAUUUAUUUCCUUUGCUCGACCAGACAUCAAAUAUGCAGCACAAGGACUUCAGCACGAAUGAAGCAGCAAAUAUUCGUUAUUGAGAAAUAUAUUCUGAACCUUUUUUUGGGAAAAUUAACUGACUAAUUCUUUUCAUUAUUAAAGAUGCACGUCAUGCUUAAAGUAGGCAAGUUAAUUUUUCUUAGUCAAAACUGGAAGUAAUUGAACACUAUUUGAAAGGAAAGAAACAAAAAUAGAAAAAGAAAAAGGAAGAAAACGGGGAAGAAAGAAAGAAAUUCACGGCCCGAGCAUGAUAGACCAGAGAAUAAUGUAUGCACUCACAAGAGGAAAGUGGAAUUCGGCCAGCCCAAAAGGAGUUCUCGCCAAGUAUAAAGAGAUAACACUGCAACACGUAAAAGAGGAGACAAAGGAGGGAGACAAAAUGUUCGAUAAAUUCACGUUCGCAAUUAACGAGAAGUGUGAGCAAUACAUAAAAGAGAACUCAAGUUUUUUCUGUGCCUCGAAAAGCUAGCCCCUACGCAGUAAGUGUGUCUAUGUUUUGACGUUACGAUUGGGAGAAAACAUGUGCGUUCAAUGACAUUGGAGAUUGAUUUACAUGUCUCAAAGUCAUUAGUUGGAAUUAAAAGUGGACUGUAAAUGCAUGUGAAGAUAUUCGAAAAGUACACUUGUAAUAGGUGGAGACGAUAUUUGGGGCACUCAUGAAAAAAAAUGGAUUGAACGGGCCAAAAUAUUUUAGAUAUUUAUAGCAUAAGUUUUGUCAUAUUGAUGCAUUUCGUUAAACAAUUUUUUUAAUCUUGAGGAGAAGCUUCUAUUGCAUUCAUUUAUAGUUUAAGAACUAUAGAUGGACGUAAAUGAUCAACGGCACAUUUUCUAGGGUCGCAUCUUCCACAUAUUUUCAAAUUUCCACACCUUUAAAAAUAUUUUGGAAAAUGAAUGAAAAAUAGGAGGGAAGUUAGGAAUUCAACAUGAAGCGUUAAAAACUAUUAACUUAAGGAGAGAGAUAAAAGUGACUUAAGCAGAGGGUAAAGACCGGAUAAAACAUGAUAUAGCGUAGAGAAAUCUGGUUUGAGAAAAUUAUGUCGGAAGAGAUUAAUUUUCAGAGUUACUUUCCCAGACGAAUCUCUUUUGAUAAAAGUAAUUCGUCCUGCAGGCAUUUGAAUAACGAAAUCCUAUAUACCACGCUUGAUAUGAUUUUGUCAUUGACUCAUGUACAUUGGCAGCGGGAGCAUGCGACUGUCGGUCGUUAGUUUUCUUUUUCUGUUCUGUUUACUAAUAGAAAAGGCAAGCCAAAUCAAGACAAUGCUGCAGGAUCUCAAAUCUGAAUGAACGCACCUGCAUGCACCUCCCUUGUAUGAAGCUGAGAAUCGGUGGAAAUCACAGCUGGAGCACGUGAGUAUUGCUCCUUAGCUUUCUUUUCCAUUUUCUUUCGUUAAUAUAAAAGUCUAUUUACUUUCAUUAAUAUGAACGGCAAGCCGUGCGGGAUCUCGACUUUUGACCAAAGCACCGGGAGCAAGUGAGUGUUGCACGUGAUUGCAUGUGCGCACGUGAGUAUUUAUUUUGGCUCUUUCGGUUCCGCGCUCCUUCCACUAAAUGCUGCGGAAACUAUGCAUGCAAAGAUUGUUCUUUCAGCGGCAUGCCUCGCAGUGGUUCGAUUAGCACGAAGAGUCUUGGACCGUUGGAUGGCAAGAACUCAGCAUUAUGUGAUUUGCACAAAUAGCCCCGGUCAAUCUUUCUAUGCUUCAACAAUUUUUUUCUAAAUAAUUUGACAACCCAUUCAUAUAUAUAUAUAUUUCCAGAUGCAGAGAAACCCUACCUACUUAGACAAAUUUCCAUUGUAUCAUUCUAAUAAUGGAAGUUUGGUUCAUUCACUCUGAAUAUUUUUCCUUCCAUGCAAGUAAAAGUCUAAGACCUUACUAAUUUCAUCAUUGCUACUUUGAACAAACGUUUCUCUUUUCUCUGGAUAAAUUUCUUUUGCCUCGAUUAUAUCCUGGAUUCCAACUAUUUUUUUUUUUUUUAAAGGAGGGAAUUAUCCAUGGAGGACGCACACUAAUUUGUAGAGGCACCAUUAGGAGAAAAGAAUAAACUUUAUGAUGUGAAAAAAAUUACAUUUUAUAUUCUUCCCUAAAUUUUAAUUUGUUUUCUCUUUGCUAUUUAAUCUUUAUUAUAUGUAUACUUGUUUAUUUCUUCCAUAACGAAACAUAUAGCUGCUAAUCUAUCAUCCUUGUGAGACACAAUGCCCACUAUUUUAUCACGUCUCAUUUUUUUUCAUCUGUAAUUUGAGGUAGUACAUUGUUAAGAGACGAAGGAAAACGAAAGGCCCAUGUGUACUCUACUAUCGGUAGAAUAUAUUUUCCACGCCCCGAUUUUACAAUCAAGACGUGCUGCACCCCAAUUUUCAAUCAAAGCACGUUGCAUAAGUAGGAUCCACACACCUUCCGCAUAAUGCUGCAGAAAUUAAUUAUUAUCGAACAACCUUUUCUUUCAUUUUAAGUCCUUAAAAUGGUCCAUAUUUGAAAUACAGUACUCGAAAUUUCGGUAAUUAUUUUUCAGUUUUUUCUAAACGGGCUCAUACUCGCAGCUGAUUUUUCACAAAUGAAUUUAAGUUCAGCAUCAGCAAAAAGACAAGUUGAGUCAAGUGGAAAGUUGAGUUAUAGCACCCAAGGUUUGACUUGAAAUUACCUAUGUAAUCAUUUACUUUAAGCCGUUAGAGUACAGUGUUGAAUAUAAUUUACAUCAUAGCAAUUUAUUUGGUUCGACUUCUAGCUUUUUGUUAACGACGAACACAAAUCAGAUACGUAAUUCACAGGUCAACAAAUUCUCCACUAAUGCAAAGUAUCAAGCUAGACACAAGUCUCAUAUACGAAACAGUUUAUGCUUGCAAAUAUGGCGGACCAAACACACGUUGUGUACCUAGUCUCCAUCUACUAAUUUUUACUUUCUAUUCCCUUGCGACUCUCAUAGUCAAACUUUUUUUUUUUUAUAACAAAGAUCACUUAAAAGAUUCAAAAUAUGCAAAUACUAUCACGUAGAUAAUUAUAUAAUUAUAUUUUUAAUUUAACUUAAAGAAUAUACAUAUUUUAAAUCUUUCAAAUGUAAAAAAUCAAUUAUACUUUUAAGUGCAGUCUAAAUUUUUAUCGAAGGGUUGCAUACCAAAAUUAUCUUUUAUUUUGAAAGAAGUAAAGCACCUCAUUAGUCAUUAGAGAAAAAGGCCAAAGCAUGGAGCCACCUCAGCUAGCGCUGUCGGGGACCCGUCUCCUUUUUCAAAAGCCAAAAGAAAUUGCCCCGAACGUCAAACCCGCCCACUCGCCUCGGUCAGGGAGAGCACGGAAACUCGCUCGGACCGCGCGCCACGUGAGCUCGAGGGGGGCAAUUCGGUACAUUCCGAGUGGCCGAAGAUAUCCUCGAGAUGCGAGGUGGGGACCACACAUUGGCUUUGGUUUCUGAGCAGCUGACCGGCGUAGCGGUCGAGCAACGCGAACACGGAGAGGAGGAGCGGCGUGGGUCCGCGUGAAGAGACAACCUAAGCAGAAUCUUUUUUUUUGGUCGAAGCCUAAGCAGAAUCCACACGGCAAAUUUCUACUCUGUUUUCGUGGAUAAAAGGGUCUCGAACAGUUGGACGGCAAUAACUCAGCAUCGUUCGAGCAAGCGCGGGAGAGAGUGUUAAGCGUAGUUAAUCCGAGGUUGAAGGCUGAGAACCGGCAGAGUUCACAGCAGUAGGUGAAUUGUGUUGUUUGAGCACUCUUCAGGUAAUCGAUUGCUCCAUUUUCUUUUGAUGAGUUUCGAUUUGAGUUCUUGGAGACAUUUUUGCAUUCCGAGAUUUGGACUGUGAAAUCUAGACUUUUUUUCUUCAAGGCUCUGCUCGAUCGAUGUCCUAUUUGGUCAAUUAGACUUCAUUUCUGUUUGAAUUUAGCUACGAAAUGAGCUCUGACAGACAUUUCGGCAAUUCCCGAAUCCGGGAUUCCGUAUUUCUCUUUGUUUUCUGCUUUUCUUCGAGGCUCUGCUCCAUCGAUCUCUUCCAUUCCCUUUAUAGGUGAUUACAAAGGCGGAGCCUAAAAGAUUCGAUAUGUGGGGACAUUCAGAAGAUCCGAAUUGUGGGGCUUCUUCCUCAUCGACUUCACCGCAUGUAGGUGAUUAUGAAGGCAGAACCAAAAAGAUGAAAAGAAAUGACUACGAAGUGUUCUUGAGCUUUAGAGGGAAGGAUACUCGUAAUGGCUUCACCGAUUAUCUAUAUACUAGUCUUGUUGAUGCAGGAAUUCAUGUGUUCAGAGAUGACAAUGAGCUUUGUGUUGGUGAGGAGAUUGGACCGGAACUUUUCCGCAGUAUUACACAAUCUAAGAUCUCCAUCCCGAUUAUCUCAGAGGACUAUGCAUCCAGCAAAUGGUGCCUUCGCGAGUUGGCUCUUAUGUUGAAUUGCAAGAGAAACAAAGGGCAAAUGGUGUUACCCAUAUUUUACAAAGUGGAACCUUGGCAAGUGAAGCAUCUCACAGGGAGAUUUGGAGAUGCUAUCAAUACACAUAAAAAGAAUUUGGAAGAAAAGAUUGUGAAGGAAUGGGAAGAAGCACUCAAAGAAGUCACUUCCUUGAAAGGAUUGGAAUCGGAGAAAAUUGAUAAUGGGUACAUUAUUCUCCACCACAACAUUGUUUACUUUCUCAUAACUAGAUCUUACUUGAAAAAUAAUACAAAUAUUUCCAUCAUAUAUUGAAAUUUUUAUUGUUGUUCGACAGGCGUGAAGGAACAUUGGUUAAAAUAGUUGUCAGAAAAGUUAUGAGUAACUUAAAGGAAUUGUUUUUGCUAAAUGUUCCCAAACAGUUGGUGGGAAUUGAUGAUCGUGUGGAGCGUAUUAUGCACUUCAUAAAUGCUAAAUUUAGUGAUACAAGUAUUAUCGGAAUCUAUGGAAUGGGCGGCAUCGGUAAGACAACCCUUGCGAAGGUGUUGUACAACAAGCUUUUGAGUCAUUAUGAGUCUCAUAGCUUUGUGGCAGAUAUUCGAGAAAAAUUUAAGCUCAAGGGUCUUGAAUGCAUACAAAAGCAGCUCAUUUAUGACAUUAGUGGAGGCUUAUGUGAUGUGUCUAAUGUCGAUCACGGAAUCAAUAUCCUUAAAUCUCGAUGUAUAAAUAAGAAAGUUCUCAUUCUUCUUGAUGACAUGGAUGAUAAUACUCCCUUGAAUGCUUUGGUUGAAGACGGUAGUUGGUUUAAAGCUGGAAGUACGGUCAUCAUCACCACUAGAGACAAGAGUAUUCUUGACAAGGUUGGGGUAAGAUACAAGUAUCAACUCAAUGAGUUGCUUUCAUAUCAAUCAUUGGUUUUAUUUAGCAGACAUGCAUUUCGAACGGAUUCUCCUCCGAGUGAUUAUUGGGUUAUCUCUCGUGAUAUCGUAUCUACUACUGGGGGGCUUCCUUUAGCUCUUGAAGUUAUUGGUUCAUUCUUAUGUGGAAAGACAAAAGAAGCAUGGAAAGCUACAUCAAAAAAAUUAGAGAAAGUGCCUAAUAAGAAAGUGCAAGAGAAGUUGAGAAUAAGUUACGACGCAUUAGAUUUUGAGGACCAGCAGAUUUUUUUGGAUAUUGCAUGUUUUUUUGUCGGAUCAUCUAUACAAAAUCCGACUUACAUGUGGGAUGCCUGUGGUUUUUUCCCGGGAAAGGGGAUUGAAGUAUUGAAUCUUAUGUCCCUAAUUAAAAUUACUGAUGAUGGCGAGCUAAUGAUGCAUGAUCAGCUGAGAGAUCUUGGAAGGGAAAUUGUUCGUCAAGAAAAUCUAAAGAAGCCUCAAAAGCGUAGCAGAUUGUGGGAAUAUGAGGAUGGCGUAGAUGUGCUUCUCAGCAACAAGGUAAGAGUUUUUCUCCGCUUGUCUUAAUCAUCGAAUGUGAGCACAUCUUCUCUUUCUUGUUUAAGAUAAUAAUUAUAGUCAAUCACGAGUCCCCAAAACUGGCUGCGUCUACUGGCAAGAGGGCACUUUUAAUUAAUUGCUCUUCUUGUCGGACUUUAGGACAAAAUUGAAGAGCAAUUUCUUGGUUAUUAAUAACUAAUAUUUUUAACUAGUAAGAUUGUGAUGAGGAUACUCUCCUUUUGCUAGCUUCAAUAAAAAAACAAAGCUACAAAUUAAUGUUCGAUAGAGCACUUUUAAAGAAAAUCGAAUAUCUAUAAAUUGUUGGGGCCAUGCUUUCCCACAUUUUUGUUUGGUGCACAGGUUGAUGUUUGAAUUCUUAUAUUGAUUUCUUUUGAGGUAUUUUCUUUCUUUUUUCUUUUAACGAGUACCGACUUCUUAAGAGUUUGCUACGAUGAAUGAGACCAUUCAUUAGUGAUGAUUAGCUAUCCCGAUUCUUGAAUUUUUCAAGUUGGGUAAAGUAUAGAUUUAGUCCCUCAAGUAAUACUAUUUGUAAGAUUUAAUCCCCUUUCUAUUUUUUGCUCAAUACCAUUCUCCAUCUUUCACAGUUUGUGCGAUCAAGUCCUUUGUAGUCAACCGUUAAUGAACAUGGUCAAUUUGUUGAUGUGACUUUCAUAUACUAUAAAUAAUAUGGUUAUAAUUAAUAUAAAUCCUAGUUAUAAUUAGAAAUCUAACAUUAAUAGAGUGACUUGGAAAAAAAGACAUGAAUUUUGGGAAUAACUAUUACUACAAGUAAAUAUUGUAAUAGACUAUAAUAGCCAUUACGGUAAUGAAACGUGCUCUAAUAAUCUAAAUGCAUGUAAUAAUACAUUGCUACAUAAUGUGUAUGUAACUAAGGGUUAGUAAAUGUGUACAACUAAACGGUAUAUAUUAUGCGGUAAGAUAUUUAGUUCAAAGUAAGACGUUAGGAAAAAAAAAGUAGAAAUUUUCCAAUAAACGGUAUAUAUUAUGUAUUCCCAAAAAAAUAUAUAUUAAUAAAGAUAUGUUCUCAAUACCAUAAUUAUAAAAAUUUUAAUGUUGAAGUAUUAUCUAAACUAAAUUUUUUGACAUGAUACUUGUUAAACUUGGAAGUUAAAUAUUUCAACCAUACAUACAUGACCUUUUUCUUUAUAUAGAGGAUGAGUGAUGAAGUGACUUUUCAGUUACAACAUUUUUAAAUAUUUAUAGAAGAAUGAUAAUUAAUAAUAAAACUAAACAAUUUCACAACUGUAUGUUGGCACAGAAGUGAUAUUAACAUAAUAUAAUUAUUCUUCAUGUCCAAUCUAUCUCUUAGCAAGAUCUUAUUAAUUUAUGGGCAAAAUUGAUCAUAAAAUUAGAUGACUGUUAUUUCUUUGUAACAAAAUCAACAUGAAAUGAAAAGUUAGCAUCAAACAUAUAUAGUAAUAAAAAGAGAAGUGAAAAUCAUGCAUAUAACUUGUUGAGGAAACACAUGAUAAGAAAGGAAUGCAAAACAUCUGUGUACUUCUUGGGAUGGAAUUCUCAUUUUCAUUUUGCUAUCGAGAAUUGUAAACAAGGUACGAAAGAAAAAGAGGGGAAUUCUACAAUUGAGAUUCUUUAGUAUUGAUACAUGCUUUGACGGUAAAUUUGAUAUAUGCAUUUGAAGUUUUGAACUGUAAGAGACAUGUUGUUUCACAUAUAAAGGAUAUGAGUUAGUUUGUUAUUUCCCAUAUAAAGGGCAUGGAAUUUUGAAGUGAUGUUUGCAUGAAAAGAGGCCUUCUAUAUUAAUUUUGAAAGGAUGGGACUUUGGGGAAUUUAAAAGCUGCAAAUUGUGAAGGGAAUAAUUGGAAGAGGAAAAGUUUGGGAAGACCCUCUUGAGGUUCACAUUUUUACAUUGAUUACCACAACCUGUCAUGUCAUGAAGUCGAAAGUGAGAAGCUUAAAUCAUGAUAGUACGACAACAAAUUUGAAAUCAAUACAUUUUUUCUCAUAUAUAGUUGCUUUCAACCCAUUAUUCAAAACAACAAUUUACAAUGUUGCCUAAUUGCAGGGCACUAGUAAAAUUGAGGCCCUUCGUCUUGACUUAGAUAAUGGGAAAGGAAGUUACAUGGCUGAAACAUUUAAAGAAUUGACCAAAUUGAGGAUACUUCAACUGGAAGGUGUGAAUCUCACUGGACAUUUUCAGAACUUGUUUCCUCAACUAAGAUUGCUUGAGUGGAUGGAUCAUCAACCGGAUUUUGAAUUGACCAACUUUCACCUGAAGAAAUUAGUCGUGCUCGAUUUGUCGUGGAGCAAGAUUUCAGAGAACUGGGGAGGAUGGAGUCAACUAAAGGUAAAAUGUAAAGAAGGCAUAUGUCUUAUAAAUAAUCACGUGUUGUCGAUGGACCCAAUUGCACCAAGUUAUACUUAAUUUCUUCUGAAAAUAUAUAUUAUGGAUUUUCUUCUAAGCAUAAGAGGAAUUCAUAGGCACCUAAAUAUGUCAAAAGCUUCUACCCCUUAAUAUUUUAGCAAACUAGUCAUGCUUAACAUCAGACCUACUAAUAAAAACUUUUUAAAUCGUAUUAAUUAACAUCUAUCAAAAAUAUAAUUACAAUAAUGUGCCCAUGUUAAUUUUAAUCUAAAUGGUUUAUGGCUUCUAGUUAAUUUCUCCCCAUGCAAAAGUAUGUAUUUUUAGCAAUUCUUGUUAUAUGUAUGUAUGUAUCUUCUUUCAUAAAAAUGCAAAGACCCUCACAGUGACUUGUGUUUUACAUACAUACUAAAAUUCUAAAUUCAUUGUUACUUUUAAAGUAAUGGAAAUAAUUUGUGAACUACUUUGACUUGUUGCGCACAAUAAUUAUUCAUUAUUAUUGUUGAUUGUUGAAGUCACCGUAUAACACAUUUAUAAAGUACUAAUGUCAUAUGAGUAAUACAACACUUUUUUAUGUCUCGUACAUAUAGCAUUUAAAAAUUGUUUUUCAUAAUUAAAGUAGCCAUUUCUCUUUAAUUUCAUACUAAUUGAAGGAAAACAUGGCACCAAAUGAAUGCAUCUCAUUUCUUCCAUUUGACUUUGUCAUAUGUAAUUUGAUAAUAAAAUUUGUGUAUCUCUAUUCAAUAAAUAACAACAUAGUCAUAACUUUGAAAAACUAAACAUGACAUUUUCUAAGAAAUUUUAUUUGCGAAAAAUUGUAGAUAGCACUCAUACAUCCCUAACAUUCUCUUUGCAAUGAUAUGCUUAAAAACAUUUAUAUGCUAGCUUGGCGAAUACACUAUUGAAAAGAAACAUUUAAAAUUAAAUUAAAUAGCUGUGUAAAAAUAGGGAGAAUGGGAUUAUUUUUUUUGUCCAAUCUCAAAGUGGUAACCUCUUUCUUUCAGAUAGCAACCGAGCUCAAGGUUCUCAACCUUACGAAUUGUGCUUUAAGAACAACUCCCGACUUGUCCGCUUUCAAGAGUUUGGAGAUUUUGAUACUUGAAGCUUGUGAGGAUCUAGAAGAGAUUCAUCCUUCUAUCGAGGACAUCGAGACCCUUGUCUCCUUGAAUGUCAGUAAUUGUUGGGAGCUGAAGAAGCUACCACUAGGAGUAGGUAGAAUGGAAAAUUUGAGCAAGCUUCUCAUAGAUAACACUAAUAUACGAGAGAUUCCUAUUUCAAGAGGUUGUUUGACAAAGCUGGAGACUCUACAUGCCUCAGAUUGUAGACGGCUUGCUCAACUUCCAGAAUCCUGGGGCUCCCUUAUGUCAUUAACUCAACUAGACCUAAAAAGAACAGAAAUUGAGGAAUUACCCGAAUCCAUUGGAUCAUUAAAGAAGCUCAAGACUCUAAAUACCUCUUAUUGUGCAUUGUUAACUUGCCUACCCAACUCAAUAGGCGAUUUAGCAUCUCUAUGUUGCCUUGACCUAAGAAAUUGCCAAAAGCUUGCUCAACUUCCAAACUCCAUAGGCUCCCUCGUGUCUCUAUUGCAAUUGUUGUUGUCGAGAUGCUACUCGUUGAGACAAAUCCCAGGCUCGAUUGGAAAGUUGACAUCAUUGACUGAGCUGCAUUUGCAAUCUACGGCCAUUGAAGAAUUACCUAAAUCUAUUGGUUCAUUGAAGGAGCUCAAGACUCUAGAUGCCUCUUAUUGCACAUCGUUAGCCCGCAUACCCAACUCAAUAGGCAAGUCACUAUCUUUGUCUCGCCUUGACCUAACAGGAUGCCAUAAACUUGCUCAACUUCCAGACUUUAUAGGCUCCCUUGUAUCUCUACAACAGUUGUUAUUGUCGGGAUGCCACUUGUUGAGACAAAUCCCAAACUCGAUUGGAAAGUUGACAUCAUUGACAGAGCCGCAUUUGAAAUCUACGGCCAUUGAAGAAUUACCUGAAUCCAUUGGUUCUUUGAAGGAGCUCAAGACUCUAGAUGCCUCUUAUUGUGCAUCGUUAGCCCGCAUACCCAACUCAAUAGGCAAUUCAAUAUCUCUGUCUCACAUUGACCUAACAGGAUGUCAUAAACUUGCUCAACUUCCAGACUCUAUAGGCUCCCUCAUGUCUCUACAGUGGUUGUCAUUGUCAGGAUGCCACUCAUUGAGACAAAUCCCAUACUCGAUUGAAAAGUUGACAUCACUGACUGAGCUACAUUUGAAAUUUAAAGUUAUUGAAAGAUUACCUAAAUCCAUUAGUCUUUUUAAGGAGCUCAAGACUCUAGAUGGCUCUUAUCAUGCAUCGUUAGCCUAUAGACCCACUUCAAUAGGCAAUUCAACGUCUCCGUCUUGUCUUGUC
RNAcentral lists this long non-coding RNA (85165 nucleotides) under Eucalyptus grandis. RNAcentral describes it as "long non-coding RNA (EGRA_LNC001423)". The record is from RNAcentral. Lineage: Eukaryota; Viridiplantae; Streptophyta; Magnoliopsida; Myrtales; Myrtaceae.